UUCUUCCAUAGAAAGUGCUCAACUUCUGUCAAAGAGUUGUGAGAUACGUUUAAGUAAGUCAAAGAGCCAUUCCCCACCUCUUGCAUCCACUGUGGAAUCUUGCCUUCAAUUUUGUUGCAAGAGAGGUCUAAGCUUUCCAAACUUUUAAGCCCUUUUAAAAAUUGGGGGAAUUCACUAAGAUUGCAAGAUGACAAAAGUAAGUCUGUAACAUUAGGCAAUAUAUGAUUAACACUAGAUGUAGUAUUAGAUGUUAAGGAUAGGCUGUUAUAUGAAAGGUCGAGAUGUUUUAGAUUUGGAAGGUUUGAGAACAUGCGAAACUCUAUGACACCACUAAGAUUAUUUGAGGAUAAAAGGAGCCAGGUAAGAUUGAGAAGUUGGAAUAUUGAAGAUGGAAGGGGACCUUGGAGUUUAUUAUUUUCUAGAUCUAAAUAUUCUAGUGAUUUGGUUUGGAAUUCUUUGAUAUGCCCACUGAAUUGAUUUUGAGAGAGAAUUAUACCCUUUAAGGAGGGAGCAGUAUACAACCAUGACGGAAGUGUUCCAUUGAGUAAAUUGUCAUAUAAGACUAAAUAUAUUAGAUUCGGAACAGCGGUUACCUCAUCUGGAAUAGAACCUUCUAAAGAAUUUUCAGAUAUUUCCAAGUAUUCCAACUGCGUUAGGUUUAGAAUUGACAAUGGAAUUUGUCCACUCAAUUUAUUUGAUCCCAAGUCUAAAUGAGUGAGUUGCAAGAGGUUUCCAAGUGAUCUUGGAACCGGUCCUGAUAAGUUGGAAUAGGAGAGAUCUAAAAACUUCAAGGACACAAGAUUCCCCAUCGAGUCAGGCAAUCCUCCAAAAAAAUUUGCGCCUCUAAGAAUCAAGUACUCCAAAGAUGAUAAAUUUGUGAUUGAGACAGACAAUCCUUGAAAGAAAGAAAUUCCUGAUAGAUCUAAGUACUUUAAGGCCCGUAGAUUAUCAACCGAAUCAAUGAAUUCUGUAGAGAAGGACAUCCUCGACAGAUCCAAAUGUUCGAGAUUGCUGCUCCGGUUCAACUUCAAAGGAUCAAGAUUGAGGUUUUGGUUGCCUCCCAAGUUGAGGAGAUUGAGGUUUGGCAAAUCAAAAAUGUUUUUUGGGAAUUUUCCUUGCAAAUCACAACCAGCAAGACUGAGAGACCUUAGAGAAGAGGAUAGAUUCAUGAAGACAUGAGCAUUAACAUAAGACAUGUCCAUUCCACCCAAAAAUAGAUGUCUGACAUCGGUUAGGUUGUGAACAAGUCCCUCCAGAGCAUGUUUGUCAAUUGUUUGUUCACCAAACACAGAGGAGGAGAGAUCAAGUGAAACCAAUUUUGACAGGUGGGAGACUUGGGAUGGGACUUCUCCUGCAAACCCUGUAUAAGAAAGGUUGAGGUAGAAUAGGCUAGUAAACCGACCGAACUCGGAUGGAAUUUUGGAAAGAUUAAAAUCAUUGUAGGCAAGGUUGAGUUUUUGAAGGUGAGGAAGAAGGAAGAGAGUGGUAUUGGAAGGGAAGUUGCCAUAUAGCCAACUGCAGCUCAAGUCAAGGGCAAUAACAUGAGCAUUUAGGUGGUCACAAGUGACCCCAUCCCAUGAGCAGCAAUCUGUACCCUCCUUCCAUGAAUUUGUCUUGGGAUAAGAUUUAAGGCCAGCAUAAUCAUUGCAAUAAGAAGAAACAUCCUCUGUUACGGAAAAAGAGUCCUUAAACUGGAUUAGGGAAGAGCAGGAGUGAGAUCCUGAAGAAGAAAAAGAAGCAUAAAGAUGGGGAAAGAAGAGGAAUAGGCAGAGAAAGAGAUAGGGGGCCAUGUUAUGUUUGUAGAGAAAGAAGAAGGAUAGGAAUGGUAUUUGUAGGCAACAAAUAGUACCACAACAUUGGUGUUACAGUAUUUUUUUUUUCUUUUACAUUGAAAAGCUAUGGAUAUUAGAUUUUCAAAAAUUUUGUAUUUUUCACCAUCAUCAACAACCACUUAGUCUUCUUUUUACCAUAUAUUUUUCAUUCUAUUUUUUUAACAAAAUCUUGUAUUUCAUUUCAGCUUUCAAAACAACUAAAAAAUUUAAAAUUGAUGAAAUUACAAAGUAGAUUGACUUAGUCUUCUUUCCUAUAACAUUUAAAAGAAUAUCUUGUCAACCAAAGUUAAUUAAUGUGAAAAUUCUUUUUCACACAAAAGAACAAAAUUGUGCUCUAUUCACUAAGUUAGAGGAAAAAGACUGCUAGAUUUUUUAAUUAUUUUUUCUUUGAAAAAUUUGAAAGUUUUUUACUGCCUUUAAGCCAAUAAAAAAAACAUGUAUUAAUUUUGUUUUUAAAAAUAGUGUGUUUGAUUGUGAAAUGAUUCAUCAUCCUCCACCACAAACUAUCCAUAUUUGCAGUGUGAAAGCAGCUACUUUCAUAAAGAAAUUACUUAGGAGAUGGGAUCCACCAAUUUUACCUAAACUCGCAUCAACAUUGUUUAGCAAUUUCAAAAUAGACUAAUUAGUCUGGUUCAAAUACCAAGACUACAAUAUCUAUUCACUUCACUUGGUCUUGCUUCCUAUCGCUGUCAGCCAAACUUGAUCGACUAGCAGUAAGGAAAUUUCAGUCAUUUGCAGCAUAAUGUACAAGAAUUCCACUCCCGCAAAAUAAUUUACAAUAUGGACUAACACACUAAAAAUGAUUUUUAAAAAAUGAUUUUUAGAAAGUAAUUUUUGAAAAAUGGUUAGAAGAUAAUUUUUGUUUCUGAAAUAGUUAAUUUUUUUUGGUGUUUAGAUAAAUUUUGUUAUGUUUUCAUUGUUUACUUGAGUUUAUUUCAUAAAGCUUAUGUAUAUAUUUUAAUUAAUCAUGUUUUAGUUUUAAUUAAUCUUAAUUUACUUAAUUAAGCUUAAUUGUUAACUUCGUACAUUAGAAUAUAAAUUUAUGUUUAAUUAAGUUGAAAGUGAUAAAUAUUUAUUUUGAAUAUUAUUUGGAUAAGUUGAAAAAUGAUUUAAUUUGAUAAAAUUGAAGUCAGGGUCAUAGAACUAUGCUUUUUACUGACAAAAUCUUAGAUGCAGUGAUUAUUGAGACUAAAAAAUGAAAGUCAUGAAAGAAGACAUAAAUAGUUGAACCAUACAAAAUGUUACAUUUUGUAAUGCAAUGAAAUAUAGAUGAAUUGUUACAAAUAUAAAGACAGAUGCAUUGCAAUGCAACCUUUCUCCAUAGGAAAAAAAAUUUGACAGACUUCAAAACAAGAAAUUAUGAAGAUACAACAUACACACUUGAACAUCAUUUCCACUAACUAGAUCCUUCUUCGUCCAUUGCUGCGACUGCCAUCCUUUGACUUUCUUCUUCGCUACUUCUCAUGUUGGAUUCAACCAAAUUCACCAACCAUUUUGGCUUACUAAUUUGGAAAACAACAUAUCCCACGACCAUUCCAAACACUACUCCGCAUCCAUAACCUAUCAACACCAAUUUCCAACCAAAAGAGAUGUUUGAUUUUGAACCAUCUUUUCCAAGCACAUUUGGAGGUGGUGGCUCAAUGAUGUUGCAACCUUUUGAGACCGGAAAUCCACAUAAUCCCUUGUUUCCUUCAUAUGAAUCAUUUCCAUAUGUGUUGAACUGUUUGCCUUGAGGAAUCUGACCAUGGAGUUGAUUUUCAGAAACAUUGAAGGACGAAAGAAAUGCCAGAUCUGCAAAUCUAUUUCGAAUUGUCCCUGACAACCUGUUUGAAUAUAGGUCCAACCAUUCAAGACUCGUCAAAUUCCCUAUUGAAGUGGGGAUACCACCGUUAUAAACACUGUCAUAUGGCAUGAAUAACAUACUCAUAUAUUUACUGUCACAUGGCAUGAAAAACACACCCUCAUAUUCACUUUCACAUUAGUCAUCAUAAGCUUAUAACAUAUGUCAUAGCAAUCUCAUAUAUAUUCAUAAUUUCACAAUUUCACAAGCGUACAUAUAUCACAUUUAAUCAUAUGCGCGAGAAAACUUACUCUCACUUACUCUUGGAAUUUAGAGUAGGAAUUUAGGCUACCACUAAAUUCUCAUCAAUUAAACAAUGAAUCAUCUACGAGCAACAAUUUCAAACCACAAUGAAUCGAGAGCUCAAACUAGCUCUUCCUCUAACUCGUAGAAGGCUUUAAUGAAUCCGAGGCUUCACACAUGACAAUCACACAAUACUCACAGUCAAAUGACAGCCAAGGACCCACUUAAACUAACCAAAAUAAAAGCCUAAGCUACCUUCUAAUGUAACCAAACCCUUUAGCAUGACGAACUUAAAAUGCAAAUAUAUCAAUCUACACUUAAACAUUUUCACAUGAAACAAGUUUCAGUCAUCCCCCAUAUUCAUUUAUAGCUAAACUCCAAUCUUUAAACCACACAAAACUACAAGUUUCAAGGUAUAACAUUUUUCCACAAAUUUUGACCAUAAUAAUGAAAAUUCAUUAAAACACGGGAAAUCUAUAAUGAAACUUAGAAGUAAUUUUAAAAAACUUCUAAUUAAGUUAAAACAAGUUGAAAAACACUUUUAAAUCACUUUUUCAUCCACAAUCUCGAAUUCCACCAUUAAUGACCCAAUUUUUAGGUUUAAAUUAAAACAUGCAAUUUCAUAACUAAAAUCUCAAUUUUAAAGUCUAGAUAACAUUAAAAACUAAUGAGAAAGUAAAUGGUUACCUUUGAUGAAAGAUUAAACGAGUUUUGAAGUAAAUUUGAAAAACCCACAAUUGAAGAAGAAGAUGAAAUCUAUGGCGUUUUUGAGUGUUUUUCUUGGAAUUAUAAGAAAUCAAAGUACUAUUGUUUGGGAAUAAAAAUUAAUUGAAAGAUCAAGGGAAUAGCAAAGGACGGCAAUAGCAAACUUUGGAGAGUAACUAUUGUGAAAUAGAACAGGGAAUGGGGUUUAUUAGGUUCAAUUUAAAACAUUGGUAAAACUUCAAUCUAAGUGCUCACUAUUUUAACUUUGUUACAAAUUAGUUCUUUUUCUAAAUUUUAGGUAUUUAAAACUCAUUUUCAGAAAUCGGCUCAAUUCCCUAAUAGCCAUUGUCGAAAACAUUAUUGAAUACUAACCUUACGAAAUUUUGAUUACAUAUAGGCUAAAAUUCCUAAAAAAAAAUUGAAACUCUUAGAUCCUAUUUUGGGGUGUUCACGUAUGGUCAUGAUUCAUGUUGAAUUAAUACAUCAUUCACCGUAAUAAGGCUUAUCGUUGUAAUAAUUAGUUAAAUCACCUAAUAUCUAAAAAAUUAUUAUUAUUUUCAUAAAAUCAUUGAUCAAAUUAUUGUUUUCAAAUUUCAUACAUAAAAUUAACAAAUAAAGAUAGCUCUAAAUAGCAAAACCCAAUAUGUGUAACAAGUAUUUUUAUUAAUCCAUUUGGAAUGUUAAGGUUUGCUGGAGCAAAUAAAUUGAUUAAUGCUUUGAACUUUCCAAACACUUUUUAUAGUUUUGUUAUAUGCAUUUUGUAUAAUUAGUAUAUUUGAAUAUAUUAGAUACAUCGUCUAAAACAAUGCCAAUUGUAAUUUUUUUAUAUUUUGUUGAUCAUAAGCGUAUUAUAUAAAUAAUUUAAAAAAAAAAAGAUGGAGUGAUACAUUUAUGUAGUGCUUAUGAAUAUAAUGUUGGAUUAAAAUCCUUAAUUAUGAGUACAUAUGUAUAUGCUUGAUAUUACAAUUAUCUUAAUAAUUUUGUUUCUGUUCUUGUUGAUUGAUGAUUAUAGAAAUCAUUAUUCUUCUGAAGGCAUACUUUGUUGUCAAUGACAGUACCUGCACCCUAAAAAAGUCACCAGCUUUAACGACUACAAAAGUUGUCCUGCCUGAUAUUUAUUAAAAAAUCACCAGGAAGCACAUUGUCAGGACAUCCUUGCUGGAAAAAAACUUGGUAGGAUGGUUUUUCUGUGCAAACUUAGUAAUUAAUUUAUGUUGUUUUUACCAAACUUUGUAGCGUUUCACUUUUGGUAAAAUUUCAUCCUUGGUCCCUUUAAACUCCUUUUUGCUUUAAUUUGAUUGCUUUCUAGCGUUGCAAAUUACAUAACACUCUUCAAAUGUCUUAUUAAAUUCUCACUUUUACGAGUGCUAUGUUAAUCAAUUUUAAGUUCCAUAUAACACUUACAUGGCUACAAAAUGUGUGUGUGUGUAAGUGUCCUCAACCACAAACAAUCCAAAUUUGCUGAGAAACCACCCAUUAUAUAUAGGUUUGCCAAUGAGAUGGCAAGCAGACUGCUAGCUAGAAAUUCAUGCAUCUUUGAAUCACCAAUUCAAUUAAUAAGCUUAACUAGAGGAAAUAAGGACUUUACACCACCAAUUAAAGCAACCUAUAUGUACCCUUUUACAGUCUGCAUUGUUCCAUGUUUCCAUUCAUUACAUCAUUCCUUCAACUCUGCUAUAUAUUAUUACCGUCUCCAGAAAACCAAACCUUUUACUGCUAACUUGUAAAAAAAUUAUGAAAAUACAACAGAGAUCAUUGAGACAUUGUUGAAGUUGGCUUGCAUGCAGACCAAGAAGCACACCAAGCUGUCCGAGAUAUGCAAGUUGCAGCUGAAGCUUAUGCUGCUGUUUUGUUACUUUCAAAUAGAUAUUUUAUUAUUUACUUAGAUAUGAACUAAGUUGCUGAUAUGCUUGAUGUAAUUAGGAGCUGAUAGAUUGAUAAAUCAGCUUUACCAAGUGUACAAGCAAUGUUUAUCAAGUUACUAAGCCACUUAGUGGAGUUAGGUAUGUGUUUAGGUAACAUUUUCUUAUUUUUGACCAGCUGAUUGCUUGCUAUAUGUAAUGGCAUUGUGCCUUCAUUCAAAUGUAAAGAAAUCUUUCAGAAAAUUCUUCUUCAUUUGGUCUUUACCUAAGCAUUUUUUUUCACGAAGCUCUUGCUGUUUUUGUUUUGUUUGUUGAGCAAGAUAACAAUGCUUUAUGCUUAAGUUUCUGUCAAAAUUUCUCAUUCUGUUUUCUUAGUUCCUACAGACAUUUUGUUCUCCUUUCUCCUUUACUGAGCAGUAGCAAAGAUUAUCGAGACUAAAUUGAAAUCCAUGAAAGAAGACAUAAACAACACCACCAUACAAAAUGUCACACUCAAACAAACCAUUACAGAUACGAAAUGCAAUGAAAGACAGAGGAAUUGGUACAAUAAUAAAGACAGCCAGAUACCAAUGCAACCCUUCACCAUAGGCAAAACGGUCUACAAACAAGAAAUUAUGAAAAAUACAACACUAAUUCUUGAACAUCAUUUGCAGUAAUUAAAUCCUUCUUCGUCUACUGCUGUGAUUGCCUUUCUUUGACUUUCUUCUUCGCCUCUUCUCAUGUUGGUUUUCAACCAAAUUCACCAACCAUUUUGGCUUACCAGUUUGGAAAACAACAUAUCCCACGGACAUUCCGAACACUACUCCGCAUCCAUAACCUAUCAACACCACUUUCCAACCAAAAGCAAUGUUUGAUUUUGAGCCAUCUUUUUCAAGCACAUUUGGAGGUGCUGGAUCAAUGAUGUUGCAACCUUUCGAGACCGGAAACCCACACAGUCCCUUAUUUCCUUCAUAUGAAUCAUUUCCAAAUGUGUUGAAUUGUUUGCCUUGAGGAAUCUGACCAUGGAGUUGAUUUUCAGAAACAUUGAAGGACGAAAGAAAUGGCAGAUCUGCCAAUCUAUUUGGAAUCGUCCCAGACAACCUGUUUGAAGAUAGGUCCAACCAUUCAAGACUUGUCAAAUUCCCUAUUGAGGUGGGGAUAUCACCAAUAAGGUUAUUAUGAGAAAGGUUGAGCCCUUUCAGUAAGUUAAGCUUCCCAAUAACCUUUGGAAUACCCCUUUCAAACUGAUUGUUUGAUAGAUCAAUGAUCAUCCACAUGGUGAAAAUUUUCACCAAUUCCCUAUCUUGUCCUUUCAUAACAAUUCCAAUGGAAUAGGUAUAGAAGCCAACUCCAUAAUCAUGCACCCCCAUGUAUGACACUGUACUACCAAUCUUCUCUAGAUUUAUGAUAGCCUUGAAGCUGUUGAUGUAUCUCACUGGUAGGGGUCCAGAAAAAUAAUUACUUGAGAGAUCAAAAAUUUGGAUUUUAGAGAAAAAAGGGAUAGACUUGGAGCUAUUGACACAUAAGGAACCAUGCAGUUGAUUUGACUUCAAUACAAGAACUUGUAGCUGUGGAAGACUUCCCAACCAGUGAGGAAAUGUAUCAUUGAUCUUGUUGUUACCAAGAUCUAGCACUUCCAGACCUCUACAAUUAAGGAUGGAUGGUGUCAAAGGCCCUUCUAACAGAUUUCCAUUUAAGUUGAAAUUACUCAAUCGGCAUCCCUUUGCAAAUGCUGGAGGAAUCGUCCCAUAAUACUUGUUCUUCUUCAGAUUCAAGAAUAGAAGGCUGUUGCUCAAAUUUCCAAAACAUUGUGGAAUUGUUCCACUCAAGUUAUUGUGGGACAAAUCAAGAAUUUCAAGAAAAGCGGCAUUGCAUAUUAAAGAAGAGACCUCUCCAUUGAAACUAUUAUUUGAGAUCAAAAAGACUCUUAUGGUCGAAGCUGGAAUCGGAAGAUUUCCACUGAUCAAAUUGGAGCUUAAGUCAAGAACAUCAAUAUUCUUCCAUGGAAAGUGCUCAACUUCUGUCAAAGUGUUGUGAGAUACAUUUAAGUGAGUCAAAGAGCCAUUCCCCACCUCUCGCAUCCACUGUGGAAUCUUGCCUUCAAUUUUGUUGCAAGAGAGGUGUUGAAGUAAUGGUCAGCAUGCAGCAACCAAGACUGUCAAAGGCACUACAUGCAGAAGCUGCUGGUUCACCUAGUCAGCAAGCUGUUUAUGUUUCAUUUUGUAAUUUUAAGUUAGAGUAAUGUAACUUAGUUGCUUUAUAACUAUGUUAGGUUUAUGUUUGAUGUAAUUUUGAUGUUGACUGAGCUGAUAAAUCAGCUUUGUUUGUUUAUUCAAGCUAAUUAGCACAAGUUACUAUGUGUAUUAGUGGUAGUAGGUGAAGUUUAGGUCAACCUACUGUUUUGUCAAGAUUGUAAACUUGUUUUAUGUAUUGGCUUUGUGCCAUAUUUAGUUUGAUGAAUGAAUUCAAGAAGUUAUCAUCCAUAUGCUCUCCAUUUUUAGUUUUGCUUAAAAAUCCAUUUGAGUUUUCUGCUUUGUUUCUCCUACAAGUCACGAGACUUGCCAUACAAGCAUUCUGCUGAAGCUUGCUGCUGCUGCCUCUUGCACCAACAAUUGGUAUCUAGAGCCACAUUCUUAGAGGACCUGUUGUAGUUCAGUAUCAAAACGAUGGCAUCAUCAGGUUUUUCACCAGCUUCACCACCUGUCUUCAAUGGAGAGGGCUUCAACAUUUGGGCAGUUAAGAUGAGGACUUACCUGCAGGCAUUCGACCUAUGGGAAGUUGUUAACUCAGAUGCUGAGCCAGCACCUCUUCGAGCUAAUCCAACAGUUGCUCAAAUAAGGCAACACACUGAUGAAAGGACAAAAAGGCACAAGGCCAUGUCAUGCAUACAGAAUUGUGUGACAGAUGUGAUCUUUAUGAGGAUCAUGGCCUGUGAGACACCAAAGGAGGCUUGGGACAAGCUGAAAGAAGAAUUUCAGGGGACUGAGAAAACAAGGCAACAACAGCUGCUCAAUUUGAGAAGAGAUUUCGAAAAUCUCAAAAUGAAAGAGGAAGAAACAGUUAAGCAGUACUCAGACCGGAUUAUGGCUGUUGUAAACAGCAUAAGGCUCCUAGGAGAGCAAUUCAGUGAAGCUAGAAUGGUUGAGAAAGUCAUGUCCACUCUACCAGAGAGGUAUGAAGCUAAAAUUUCAUCCCUCGAAGACUCAAGGGACUUGACAACUAUCUCCUUAACUGAGCUAAUCAAUGCCUUGUAUGCAUAAGAGCAAAGAAGAGCUAGCAGACAAGAGGAGCACCAGGAAGGGGCUUUUCAAGCCAAAGAAGCCUCGAGCAUCAAAACUCAUAAAGGCAAAAAGUUCUGGAAAAACAAGCCUAAGCCUGAUGCUGCUAGGAGCAGUGACCAACUCUGCAGACAUUGUAAAAGAGCUGGUCAUCCAGAAGAUAGAUGCUGGUUUAGACCAGAUGCAGUAUGCCAAAACUGCAAGAAAAAAGGCCAUGUUGAAAAAGUUUGCAAGAAUAGAAGCAAACCAAGACAGAAUCAAUUUCAGCAACAAAAGGUGGAAGCUCGAGUAGCUGAAGAAAGUAGUGAUCAAGAAGAACAUGUUUUUGCUGUGUCAUGUGCAGCAAAUCAGAAGAAGGGUUCAAAGGGCUGGCUUCUAGACAGUGGGUGCACAAACCACAUGUCACCAGAUGCAACUAUCUUCAAAACCCUGGACAGAACCUGCAAAACCAAAGUAAAAAUUGGAAAUGGUCAGUUAAUCAAUGCUGAAGGAAGAGGAGAUGUGCUGAUUCAUACUUCUACAGGUGGCAAAAUCAUUUCAAAUGUACUUUUGGUACCUGAAAUCGAUAGGAACCUUCUCAGUAUAACUCAACUACUUGAGAAAGGUUACUCAGUUGUUUUCAAGGAGAAAGAAUGUCAAAUUUUUGAUCCAAGUGGAUCAAAUCUUAUAACAGUCACCAUGACUGAUAAAUGUUUUGAAGUAGACUGGCCAAAUGACUCACAUUCAGCCUGCAUAGCCUCCACUAAUGACUCGAGACUCUGGCAUCAGAGGCUUGGACAUGCAAACUACAAAUCCAUAGCCCGCAUGGUCAAUGAAGGUCUGGCAGAAAAUUUCAUUGAUUCAGUGAAGAAUGAUGAGCUUUGUGAGAUAUGUCAGCAAGGAAAAUUGGCAAGAUUGCCAUUUCCAACAAGCACAACAUGGAGAGCAUCAGAGAAGCUCCAGCUUGUGCAUACAGAUGUGUGUGGACCAAUGAAGACUGAGUCUCUCAAAGGAAGCAGGUACUUUAUUUUAUUUAUUGAUGACUUAACAAGAUACUGCUGGAUUUAUUUUCUAAAACAGAAAUCAGAAGUACCAUCUAUGUUCCUGAAGUAUAAGGCUGCUGUUGAAACUGAGUCUGGUUGCAAACUUAGAGCAAUGAGGUCAGAUAAUGGAACUGAGUACACCUCAGCUCAGUUCCAAGUCUACUGUGAAGAAGCAGGUAUCAAACACCAGUUGACUAAUGUGUAUACACCCCAACAGAAUGGGGUCAGUGAAAGGAAAAACAGAAGCUUGAUGAACAUGGCAAGAUGUCUUCUGUUUGAGAAGAAUUUGCCCAAAAGUCUGUGGGCUGAAGCUGUUAACACAGCAGUUUAUCUCUAAAAUAGGCUCCCAACCAAGGCUCUGGCUGAGAAGACUCCAUUUGAAGCCUGGUUUGGGUUUAAGCCAUCACUGGCUCAUCUCAGAACCUUUGGUUGUCUGUGCUAUACUCAAGUUCCAGCUGAGAAGAGAAGCAAGCUAGACAAAAGAGCUCAAGCAGGGAUCCUGAUCGGCUACAGCUUGGUUAAGAAGGGCUACAGAAUUCUAGAACCUGCUACAAACAAGAUAUUGGUUAGCAGGGAUGUUGUUUUCAAUGAAAAAGGACACUGGAAUUGGGAGAAGGCUGAACCAGAGGCAGUGGCUGAAGAUCUGGCAGUGGACCAAGUUGAAAAUGGUGAAAACACACCUGAAAUGGAUGUAGAUGAUGUUCCAAUCAGAGGCACUCGAUCACUGGCUGAUGUUUAUGAAAGAGCACAAGUGGCUACUGUUGAACCAAAUUGCUUUGAAGAAGCAGAAAACCAGGAGGACUGGAAGCAAGCAAUGAUUGAAGAAAUCAGAAUGAUUGAAAAGAAUCAGACCUGGAGUCUGGUUGAUAAACCAACAAACAGGAAGAUUAUUGGUGUCAAAUGGGUUUAUCGAGUAAAGAACAAUGCUGAUGGUAGCCUAAACAAGUUAAAGGCUAGAUUGGUUGUGAAAGGCUUCAGUCAAAGGUAUGGAUCAGACUACCUGGAAACCUUUGCACCAGUGGCCAGGUUAGACACUAUUAGACUGCUAGUUGCCUUAGCAGCACAAAAACAGUGGCUGAUACACCAACUUGAUGUAAAAUCAGCAUUUCUGAAUGGAUUCCUUGAAGAGGAGAUUUAUGUGGAGCAACCUCAAGGUUUCAAGGUGUCUGGCAAAGAAGAUAUGGUGUACAAGCUCAACAAAGCCUUGUAUGGCUUGAAACAGGCUCCAAGGGCCUGGUAUAGCAGAAUAGAUGGCUAUCUGACCAGUCAAGGAUUUGAAAGAAGUCUUAGCGAGCCAACUCUGUAUGUUAAAUCAACUAGUGCUGAAACUCAGCUCAUUGUCUCAAUAUAUGUCGAUGACCUACUGGUGACAGGAGGAGAUCAUGAGAUGCUAAGCAGUUUUAAAGUCAAAAUGCAACAGCACUUUGAAAUGUCAGACUUGGGAUUGAUGUCUUACUUCUUAGGCAUGGAAGUAACUCAAGCUAAGAAUGGGAUUUGGCUAAGUCAAAAGACCUUUGCUAUGAAGGUUCUCAACAAAUUCUCAAUGGAGAAUUGCAAAGCAACCAGCACACCAGUUGCUGUUGGAGAAAAACUCUCGAGCCAAGACAAGCAUGAAAAGGUUUGUGAAACAACCUAUCGAAGUCUAGUUAGAUGUUUGUUGUAUUUGACUGCUACUAGACCUGACAUAAUGUAUGCUGUGAGUCUACUCUCGAGGUUUAUGCAUUCUUCAAAUGAAAGUCAUUUUAGAGCUGCAAAAAGGGUUCUAAGAUACAUCAAAGGAACUUUGUCCUAUGGAAUGCAGUUUACCAAGGCUGAGAACUUGAGGCUAGUUGGAUAUUGUGACAGUGAUUGGGCUGGUUCUUUGGAUGACAUGAAGAGCACUACAGGUUAUGCAUUCAACAUAGGCUCUGCUAUGAUAUGCUGGAGCUCAAAGAAGCAAGGAGUAGUGGCUCAGUCGACUGCAGAAGCAGAAUAUGUGGCUGCUGCUGCAGCAGUCAAUCAAGCCAUAUGGCUUAGAAAAAUUUUGAAAGAUAUCAAUCAUGAGCAAAAGGAAGCAACUGAGAUAAUGUCUGACAACCAAUCAGCAGUUGCUAUUGCAAAGAAUCCUGUUUUUCAUGGAAGGACCAAGCACUUCAACAUCAAACUUCAUGCAGUUCGGGAAAUGGAACAAGCUCAUGUUGUUAAGCUGAUACAUUGCAGUUCUGAAGAGCAAAUUACUGAUAUUUUAACAAAAGCACUAAGUGUUUCCAAGUUUCAACACCUGAGAGCUAAUAUGGGAGUUUGCAACAUGCUAACCAAGGAGGAGUGUUGAAGUAAUGGUCAGCAUGCAGCAACCAAGACUGUCAAAGGCACUACAUGCAGAAGCUGCUGGUUCACCUAGUCAGCAAGCUGUUUAUGUUUCAUUUUGUAAUUUUAAGUUAGAGUAAUGUAACUUAGUUGCUUUAUAACUAUGUUAGGUUUAUGUUUGAUGUAAUUUUGAUGUUGACUGAGCUGAUAAAUCAGCUUUGUUUGUUUAUUCAAGCUAAUUAGCACAAGUUACUAUGUGUAUUAGUGGUAGUAGGUGAAGUUUAGGUCAACCUACUGUUUUGUCAAGAUUGUAAACUUGUUUUAUGUAUUGGCUUUGUGCCAUAUUUAGUUUGAUGAAUGAAUUCAAGAAGUUAUCAUCCAUAUGCUCUCCAUUUUUAGUUUUGCUUAAAAAUCCAUUUGAGUUUUCUGCUUUGUUUCUCCUACAAGUCACGAGACUUGCCAUACAAGCAUUCUGCUGAAGCUUGCUGCUGCUGCCUCUUGCACCAACAAGAGGUCUAAGCUUUCCAAACUUUUAAGCCCUUUUAAAAAUUGGGGGAAUUCACUAAGAUUGCAAGAUGACAAAAAUAAGCUUGUAAGAUUAACAGUAGAAGUUGUAUUAGAUGUUAAGGAUAGGCUGUUAUAUGAAAGGUCAAGAUAUUCGAGAUUUGGAAGGUUUGAGAACAUGCGAAACUCUAUGACACCACUAAGAUAAUUUGAGGAUAAGCUAAGUUGGGUAAGAUUGAGAAGUUGGAAUAUUGAAGAUGGAAGAGGACCUUGGAGUUUAUUAUUCUCUAACCAUAUCCAUUCUAGUGAUUUGGAUUGGAAUUCUUUGAUAUGCCCACUGAAUUGAUUUUGAGAGAGAUAUAUUGUCUUUAAGGAGGGAGCAAUAUACAACCAUGACGGAAGUGUUCCAUUGAGUAAAUUGUCAGAUAAGUCUAAAUAUAUUAGAUUAUGAAAAGCGGUUACCUCAUCUGGAAUGGAACCUUCUAAAGAAUUGUUAGAUAUUGUCAAGUAUUCCAGCUGCGUUAGGUUUAGAAUUGACAAUGGAAUUUGUCCACUCAAUUUGUUCCAUCCCAAGUCUAAAACAGUGAGUUGCAAGAGGUUCCCCAAUGAUCUUGGAAUCUGUCCACUCAAUUGGUUCAGCCACAAGUCUAAAUGAGUGAGUUGCAAGAGGUUCCCUAAUGAUCUUGGAAUUUGUCCACUCAAUUGGUUCUUCGACAAGUCUAAAUGAGUGAGUUGCAAGAGGUUCCCCAAUUUUCUUGGAAUUUGUCCACUCAAUUGGUUCUCCGACAAGUCUAAAUGAGUGAGUUUCAAGAGAUUCCCCAGUGAUCUUGGAACCAGUCCUGAUAAGUUGGAAUGGGAGAGAACUAAAAACUUCAAGGACACAAGAUUCCCCAUCGAGUCAGGCAAUCCUCCACAAAUAUUUGCGUCUGAAAUUAUCAAUUGUUCAAGAUUGCUGCUCCGAUUGAACUUCAAAGGAUCAAGAUUGAGGUUUUGGUUGCCUCCCAAGUUGAGGAGAUUGAGGUUUGGCAAAUCAAAAAUGUUUUUUGGGAAUUUUCCUUGCAAAUCACAACCAACAAGACUGAGAGACCUUAGAGAAGAGGAUAGAUUCAUGAAGACAUGAGCAUUAACUGAAGACAUGUCCAUUUCAUCCAAAAACAGACGUCUGACCUCGGUUAGGUUGUGAACAAGACCCUCCAGAGCAUAUUUGUCAAUUGUUAAUAGUUCAUCAAACCCAGAAAGAUCAAGUGAAACCAAUUUUGACAGGUGGGAGACUUGGGAUGGGACUUCUGAAAACCAUGUAUUGGAAAGGUUGAGGUAGAAUAGGCUUGUAAACCGACCGAACUCGGAUGGAAUUUUGGAAGAAUUAAAAUCAUUGUAGGCAAGGUUGAGUUUUUGAAGGUGAGGAAGAAGGAAGAGAGUGGUAUUGGAAGGGAAGGUGCCAUAUAGCCAACUGCAGCUCAAGUCAAGGGCAAUAACAUGAGCAUUUAGGUGGUCACAAGUGACCCCAUCCCAUGAGCAGCAAUCUGUACCCUCCUUCCAUGAAUUUGUCUUGGGAUAAGAUUUAAGGCCAGCAAAAUAAUCGCAAUGAUCAAAAGAAGCAUCCUCUCUUAUGGAAAAGGAGUCCUUAAACUGGAUUAGUGAAGAGCAGGAGUGAGAUCCUGAAGAAGAAAAAGAAGCAUAAAGAUGGAGAAAGAAGAGGAAUAGGGAGAGAAAGAGAUAGGAGGCCAUGUUAUGUUGGUAGAGGAAGAUGAAGGAUAGGAAUGGUAUUUAUAGGCAACAAAUAAUACCACAACAUUGGUGUUACAGUCUUUUUUCUUUUACAUUGAAAAGCUAUGGAUAUUAGAUUUUCAAAAUUUUUGUAUUUUUCACAAUCAUCAACAACCACUUUGUCUUCAUUUUACCAUAUAUUUUUCAUUCUUAAAAUUGGAUUAUUUUCUUUUAGCAAAAUCUUGUAUUUCAUUUGAACUCCCUAAACAACUAAAAAAUUAAGAUUGAUAAAAUUACAAAGUAGAUUGACUUAGUCUUCUUCCUUGUAACACGUAAAGAAUUUCCACGCAAAAGAACAAAAUUGUGCUCUAUUCUUUACGUUUGAGGAAGAAGACUGCUGGAAUUUUAAUCCACUGAUUCCAUAAAAACGUGUAUACUUAUAUAUAUAUAUAUUUAUAACCUCAUAAUUUAAAUCUAAAAUCUCAUUUGUUAUAAAUUCUGAUAAAUUUAUUUGGGAAUUGCUAUUUUUCAUUCGUUAAUUAUUUCUCUUUUAAUCGAGUAAAAAAUUAAAACUAAAGACAUAAUGAUUUAUUUGGUAUUUUUUAACUUCGCAAACGAAAAAUUAUUUUAGCUUUCUAUUUUUUUUUAUCUCUUUUAGUCUUGAAAUUUAUAUGGUUCAUUAAAUCACCCAAAAAAAUGAUGAAAAAAAUAACAAAACUAGCACCUACGUGGCUGAUGUUGACCCUUAAUAGUUAAUGGCAACACCUAUGUAGUUGUUAACAGAUACCACACCAACACUGUUUGUUGACGUGACAAUGCCACAUGAUCAAUAAUCGCAGACAUGGUAGCGCCACGCCAUCGCCCAUUGAUGACAUAUUAACCUUUGAGUUAAACUCAAAUAAUUUGGUCCCAAAUAGUUUUCAACACAAAAGAAUAGAGGAAGAAGACUGCUACAGGUUUAACUAUCAAUUGUCUAUUGACUAUACUUUUAACUCCACUAAAAAAGACCAAGACUAAGACUAUCAAUUGUCUAUUGACUACACUUUAACUCGACAAAAAAAGACCAAGACUAAGACUAUCAAUUGUCUAUUGGCUUCACACUUGCUGUUGCUUCCUCCUAUUUCUCUCACCCAAACUUAAUUUACAAGCAAUGUGGAAAUUUUGGACAUUUGCCCACAACGUACAAUACUUCCACACCAUUUGCAGUAUUGACUACGUUUACUUGAGGGAAAACAAAGACAUGAACGCUGGAAAUUUUAACUAGUUUGUACCGUCAAUGAAGCUACGUACCUAAAAGCCAUUUAGGAUAUCAAUUCCUGUAAUUGGAGUAAUCUCAUCGUUGCUGCAAUCUUUUGACAGUUUAAUCGAAUCUUAAAUAUGUUACUCUGCAAUGCUAUUGUAAAUAUUUUUCUUAAAUUUGUCGAUAGAUUUAUAGGUUUGGCACAAAAUUAAGAAUACACAAAGGCAGGUUGAAUUAUUCCAUGUUUGAACAUCUGCAACAUAAAUGCAUAUGGCAAAAGGGCUCAAACCAUACCUUAUGUUCAUGAAUUCUCAUCAUCACGUGUUUAUAAAUGCAACUCAAACUUCAAUAAUUGAAUCUUUUGUAAUUCUACAUGUAUUUUUUUAUUAUGGCGAGCAGUAUAAUGUUUACUAAAAAUUGAAAUUCAAGAAAGAAGACAUAUAUAGUUGCACCAUACAAGAUGUUACACUCGAACUAAACGCUUACAAAUAGUACGAAAUGCAAUUGAAUACAGAGGAAUUGGUACAAUCAUAAAAACAGACACAUACCAAUGCAACUUUUCACCAUAGGAAAAACUUUCUGACAGACUACUAAACAAGAAAUUAUGAAGACACAGUAGAAAUGCUUUAACUUCAUUUGCACCAACUAGAUCAUUCUUCAUCCACUCAUGCGAUUGCUAUAUUUUGGCUUUCUUCUUCGCCUCUUCUCAUGUUGGUCUUCAACCAAAUUCACGAACCUUUUCACCUUAUCGGUUUGGAAAACAACACAUCCCAUGGCCAUUCCAAACACUACCCCGGAUCCAUAACCUAUCAACACCACUUUCCAACCAAAAGCAAUGUUUGCUUUUGAGCCAUCCUUUUCCAGCACAUUUGGAGGUGGUGUCUCAUUGAUGCUGCAACCUUUGGAGACUGGAAAUCCACAUAGUCUCUGUUUCCUUCGUAUGAAUUGUUUCCAAAUGUAUUGAACUGUUUGCCUUGAGGAAUCUGACCAUGGAGUUGAUUUUCGGAAACGUUUAAUAAGGAAAGAAAUGCCGGAUCUGCCAAUAUCUCUGGAAUUAACUCAGUUCAAAAGACUAUAUAACUCGUAAAGUUUGGUCGAAGACUAGCAGGGGUCAAGAAAAAUAAUUACUUGAAUUGUCAAAAUUUUGGAUUUUAGAGAAACAAGCACUAGACUUGGAGCUAUGGUCAUGCAAGGAACCAUGCAUUUCAUUUGACUUUAGUACAAGAACUUGUAGCCGUGGAAGACUUCCCUACCAAUGAGGAAAUGUAUCAUUGAUCUUGUUGUUCCUAAGAUCUAGCACUUCCAAAGACCUAAAAUUGAGGAUGGAUGGUGACAAAUGCCAUUCAAAUUGAUUUCCAUUUAAGUUGAGAUUACUCAAUUGGCAUCCCUUUGCAAAUGUUGGAGGAAUCAAUCCAUAAAACUUGUUCUUCUUUAGAUUCAAAAAUUCCAGGUUGUUGCUCAAAUUUCCAAAACAUUGUAGAAUAGUUCCACUCAAUUUAUUGUGGGACAAGUCAAGAAUUUGGAGAGCACUCACAUUGCCUAUCAAAGAAGAGACCUCUCCACUUAAACUAUUGUUUGAAGUAAAAAACACGUUGAUUGUCGAAGAUGGGAUUGGAAGAUUUCCAUGGAUCAAAUUGGAGCUUAAGUCAAGAAUAUUAAUAUUCUUCCAUGGAAGUUGCUCAACUUCUGUCAAUGAAUUGUGAGAUAAAUUUAAGUAACUCAAAGAGUCACACGUCACUUCUUGCAGCCAUUGUGGAAUCUUCCCUUCAAUUCUAUUGUUAGAAAGCUCCAAAGUUUUCAACUUUUUUAACCCUUUCAAAAAUCGGGGGAAUUGGCUGACAUUAUUUGAGCUUAAGGAUAGGCUGUUUAGUGAAAGGUCAAGAUAUUCGAGAUUUGGGAGAUUUGAGAACAUGCCAAACUCUAUGACACCACUGAAAUUAUUUGAGUAUAAAAGGAGCCAGGUAAGGUUGAGAAAUUGGAAUAUUGAAGAUGGAAGAGGACCUUGGAGAUUAUUAUUCCCUAACACUAUCAUUCUAGUGAUUUGGAUUGGAAUUCUUUGAUGUGUCCACUGAAUUGAUUCUGAGAGAGAGAUAUUUCCAUUAAGGAGAAAGCAUUAUACAACCAUGACAGAAGUUUUCCAUUGGGUAAAUUGUUAGAUAAGUCUAAAGAUAUUAGAUUAGGGAAAGCAGCUACCUCAUCUGGAAUGGGACCUUCUAAAGAAUUUUCAGCUAUUCUCAAGUGUUCAAGCUGUGUUAGGUUUACAAUUGACAAUGGAACUUGUUCACUCAAUUGGUUCCAUGACAAGUCUAAAUAUAUGAGCCACAAGAGGUUCCCCAGAGAUCUCGAAAUUGAUCCCUGUAAAUUGGAAUUAGAGAGAGACAAAUAUUUCAAGACGUGCAGGUUGUCAAUCAAAUCAAUCAAUUUUGAAAAGGAGGACAUCCAUGACAGAUCCAAAUGUUCAAGAUUACUGCUCUGAUUGAACUUCAGAAGAUCAAGAAUCAGGUUUCGGUUGUAUCCUAAGUUGAGCAAAUUGAGGUUUGGCGAAUGAAGAACGUUUCUUGAGAAUUUUCCUUGCAAAUCACAACCACCAAGACUGAGAGACUUUAUAGAAGAGGAUAGAUUGAUGAAAACAUUAGGAUUAAUAGAAGGCAUGAUAAUUCUAUCAAGAAAAAGAUGUCUCACCUCAGUUAGGUUGUGAACAAGUCCCUUCAAAGAAUUUUAUCAAGUGUUAAUUGGUCAGAAAAAACAUUAUGAGAGAGAUCAAGUGAAACCAAUUUUGACGAGUGGGAGAUUUGGGAUGGGACUUUUCCUGCAAAUAACGUUUCUGAGAUGUUAAGAUACACCAGGCUUGUAAACCGGCCGAACUCGGAUGGAAUUUUGGAAAGAUUAAAAUCAUUGUAGGCAAGGUUGAAUUUUUGAAGGUGAGGAAGAAGGAAGAGAGUGGUAUUGGAAGGGAAGUUGCCAUAUAGACAACUGCAGCUCAAGUCAAGGGCAAUAUAUAACUUGAGCAUUUAGGUGGUCACAAGUGACCCCAUCCCAUGAGCAGCAAUCUGUACCCUCAUUCCAUGAAUUUGUCCUGGGAUAAGAUUUAUGGCCAUCAAUCUCAUUGCUAUAAGAAGAAGCAUACUCUGUUAUGGAAAAAGAGUCCUUAAACUGGAUUAGUGAAGAGCAGGAGUGAGAUCCUGAAGAAGAAAAAGAAGCAUAAAGAUGGGGAAAGGUUAAGGUAGAAUAGGCUUGUAAACCGACCGAACUCGGAUGAAAUUUUGGAAAGAUUAAAAUCAUUGAAGGCAAGGUUGAGUUUUUGAAGGUGAGGAAGAAGGAAGAGAGUGGUAUUGGAAGGGAAGUUGCCAUAUAGCCAACUGCAGCUCAAGUCAAGGGCAAUAACUUGAGCAUUAAGGUGAUGACAAGUGACCCCACACCAUGAGCAGCAAUCUGUACCCUCCUUCCAUGAAUUUGUCUUGGGAUAAGAUUUAAGGCCGGCAAAAUCAUCGCAACACAAAGCAGCAUGGCCUGUCUGAGUGAUCGAAAAUGAAUUCUUGAACUGGAUUAGAGAAGCAGCUUCGUGGUGAGAGCAGGAGUGAGAUCCUGAAGAAGAAGAAGCAUAAAGAUGGGGAAAGAAGAGGAAUAGGCAGAGAGAGAGAUAGGGGCCAUGUUAUGUUUGUAGAGGAAGAUGAAGGAUAGGAAUGGUAUUUAUAGGCAACAAAUAGAAUCCAAUAUUAAACAAAAGAUUUGAUGAUUAAUACCACAACACCACUGUUACAGUGUUGUUUCUUUUAUGGUAUAAAGAUUGUUAUUGGAAGAGUUUGAAAUGCUGACAUUGAAAACCUAUAUUUUUCAAUACUCAUCAACAACCACUUCCUUUUUACCAUAUCUUUUUCAUUCCCAAAAUUGGAUACAUUGUUUUACCAAAAUUUUGUAUUUCAUUUGAACUCCCUAAACAACUGAGAAAAUUAACAUUGAUGAGAUUACAAAGUAGAUUGACUUAGUCUUCUUCCUUAUAAUAGGUAAAAAAAAAAUGUGAGUGUCUAUUCACUUAUAAUAUUUCCAUGCUAGAGGUAGUUUUUGGAAAAUCUUUAAUUAAAUCUUAAUUUCAUUUUGUUAAAAUUUUAAACUGGGUUAUCGAAUUGGCUUCUGAUUGUAGGUUGAUCAAUGAUGGGCCGAUUUCUUCUUCUUCUUUUUUAAUUUUUUUAGGGUUAAUUUAUAAUAUACUGCUUAAUGUUGUUGAUUUAUUUUUCUGGUCAUCGUUUCAUCCGUUUGUUGAAGAUAACUGAAUUUUUAUUGGUUGUAAUUGGACUUGGGUUUUAGCCAAUGACUAUAAUCAAAGGGUUAAUUUAAGGUUCCAAUGAAUUGUUUGAAAAUUUUAUUAUUUUUCUUUUCAAUUAGUUGUUUUACAAGGAUUUAACUUAUAUUAGUCAAAUGAACUGGCUUUAAAAAAUGAACAAGAACGAAGAAAUUGGAUGGUUAACUGGACACUGGAAAGGGGGAAUGCUAAAAGUUGUAAAUGUUUUGAAUAUAGAGUUGUAUUCUUUUCAUGGCUUCAGAAAAAUGUAUGCAAUGUUUGGCCAGCGAUAAUGGACAAGUUUUUUUAAACCUCCAUGCCUUAGUCAUGCUUUCAUAAACAUGGGCAGCUAACACCGAGAAGUCUCAUUGAAUGUAGUAAGCGAUUUAAAAGUGAAGCUCAUAUGCGACCGGGGAUGGUUGAUUUGAGGUUUAAUUCUAGCUAGUAGAUUCUGUUGUUUGUUAAGCGUCUUUUUGGAGACAAAUGUCUGAGAUUGCUGGAAAAUGCUUCUUACCAUCAUAUUAAUGUGUAUUUGGGUUGCGUUUUCUUAGAGUUUUGGAUUCUUUGCAUCAUAUCAUAAAAUUGAGUUAGAUAUAACAUCUCAUUGUUAUCUGUUAAUUGUUUCACUUGGGACCAGGAGCAUGCUGGCAACUCAAUACAGCUGUAAAUGCAUAUUUCAGUGAGGGUGAUAGGUAUAUAUUUAUGAAUUAUCCUAAUAUUUUUUAUGAUAAGUAAUUCUAGGUUUAUAGCUUUAUUUGUUUGUUUGUUUUCUCGUGUUUCCUACAAAAAAAGGCCAACAUCAACCAUAGUUCCUGUAGAUGAUGCCAUGGAUAUAGAUGAUCCAAAUGAAGUAGUACCAAAUGGGCCAGUCCUUCCAUUUCUACCAUCAUCUAGAACAAACGAACAAUCGUCUCUUUUUCUGAAAUUUCCGGCGCGACGCCUGUGCGGGGGGCCUUGGCCGGAAUCUGGACUUAGUCCAGAGAGUUUUUUUUUCUUUCUUCUGUUUUUUUUUUUCAAUGUUCAAAUGAUUUUUUUUCUCAAAACACUAAUUUUUAUGCCCAGUGAAACGGCGCCGUUUUGGCUAAGCUCCAAAACACCCAAAACGACGUCGUUUCACUCGCCACCAACUUGAAUUUUAUAACUACUCCUAUGCCAACCAGCAAACCAUAACAGCGUACAUAAAAAAGAGGAUGCUGACUUACAAUUCCUUUCAUUUCACCAUAACCAAUCAAAUCCCUUGCAAUGCUGUUUGGAUCACAGCAGCUCAUCUUUCAAUCCUAGAUGGCUCCGCUAAUUUUUUGAAAGCAUACAUAAACUGUUAAAGAAAUAAAUGGAUAAAACAACUACAGGAUAGAAGGCUGAAAAAUUACAAAGUGCAAUGACCUUAUUGUUAAAAUUUCAACGCCCAUUCCUUGGAAAGAUAUCUUCACCAUUGCCCACUCAAGAGAACUCAAAUAGCAGCAAGAUCUAGUAUAAAAUGUAACUCUCAACAACACACACAAAUGUUUGUUCUAUCAAGGAGCAAUACACAGACAUAUUCACCUACCCUUGGUUCUAGCUUUGCAUAUUACAUAACACUCUUCAAAUGUCUUAUUAAAUUCUCACUUUUACGAGUGCUAUGAUAAUCAAAUAAAAUUCAAUUCAAUUUUAAGUUCCAUAUAACACUUACAUGGCUACAAAAUGUGUGUGUGUUUAAGUGUCGACAACCACAAACAAUCCAAAUUUGCAGAGAAACCACCCAUUAUAUAUAGGUUUGCCAAUGAGAUGGCAAGCAGAUUGCUAGCUAGAAAUUCAUGCAUCUUUGAAUCACCAGUUCAAUUAAUAAGCUUAAGUAGAGGAAAUAGGGACUUUACAUCCACCAAUUAAAGCAACCUAUAUGUACCCUUUUACAGUCUGCAUUGUUCCAUGUUUCAAUUCAUUACAUCAUUCCUUCAACUCUGCUAUAUAUUAUUACCGUCUCCAGAUAACCAAACCUUUUACUGCUAACUUGUAAAAAAAUUAUGAAAAUACAACAGAGAUCAUUGAGACAUUGUUGAAGUUGGCUUGCAUGCAGAGCAAGAAGCAGACCAAGCUGUCCGAGCCAUGCAAGUUGCAGCUGAAGCUUAUGCUGCUGUUUUGUUACUUUCAAAUAGAUAUUUUAUUACUUAGUUAGAUAUGAACUAAGUUGUUGAUAUGCUUGAUGUGAUUAGGUGCUGAUAGAUUGAUAAAUCAGCUUUACCAAGUGUACAAGCAAUGUUUAUCAAGUUACUAAGCCACUUAGUGGAGUUAGGCACGUGUUUAGGUAACAUUUUCUUAUUUUUGACCAGCUGAUUGCUCGGUAUAUGUAAUGGAAUUGUGCCUUCAUUUGGUCUUUACUUAAGCAUUUUUAUUCAAAAAGCUCUUGCUGUUUUUGUUUUGUUUGUUGUGCAAGAUAUCAAUGCUUUAUGCUUAAGUUUCUGUCAAAAUUUCUCAUUCUGUUUUCUUAGUUCCUACAGACAUUUUGUUCUCCUUUCUCCUUUACUGAGCAGUAGCAAAGAUUAUUGAGACUAAAUUGAAAUCCAUGAAAGAAGACAUAAACAACACCACCAUACAAAAUGUCACACUCAAACAAACCAUUACAGAUAGUACGAAAUGCAAUGAAAGACAGAGGAAUUGGUACAAUAAUAAAGACAGCCAGAUACCAAUGCAACCCUUCACCAUAGGCACAACGGUCUACAAACAAGAAAUUAUGAAAAAUACAACACUAAUUCUUGAACAUCAUUUGCAGUAAUUAGAUCCUUCUUCGUCUACUGCUGCGAUUGCCUUUCUUUGACUUUCUUCUUCGCCUCUUCUCAUGUUGGUUUUCAACCAAAUUCACCAACCAUUUUGGCUUUCCAGUUUGGAAAACAACAUAUCCCACGGACAUUCCGAACACUACUCCGCAUCCACAACCUAUCAUCACCACUUUCCAACCAAAAGCAAUGUUUGAUUUUGAGCCAUCUUUUUCAAGCACAUUUGGAGGUGGUGGGUCAAUGAUGUUGCAACCUUUCGAGACCGGAAACCCACACAGUCCCUUAUUUCCUUCAUAUGAAUCAUUUCCAAAUGUGUUGAAUUGUUUGCCUUGGGGAAUCUUACCAUGGAGUUGAUUUUCAGAAACAUUUAAGGACGAAAGAAACGGCAGAUCUGCCAAUCUAUUUGGAAUCGCCCCAGACAACCUGUUUGAAGAUAGGUCCAACCAUUCAAGACUUGUCAAAUUCCCUAUUGAUGUGGGGAUACCACCAUUAAGGUUAUUAUGAGAAAGGUUGAGCCCUUUCAGUAAGUUAAGCUUCCCAAUAACCUUUGGAAUACCCCCUUCAAACUGAUUGUUUGAUAGAUCAAUGAUCAUCCACAUGGUGAAAAUUUUCACCAAUUCCCUAUCUUGUCCUUUCAUAACAAUUCCAAUGGAAUAGGUAUAGAAGUCACCUCCAUCAUCAUUCACCCCCAUGUACGACACUGUACUACCAAUCUUCUCUAGAUUUAUGAUAGCCUUGAAGCUGUUGAUGUAUCUCACUGGUAGGGGUCCAGAAAAAUAAUUACUUGAGAGAUCAAAAAUUUGGAUUUUAGAGAAAAAAGGGAUAGACUUGGAGCUAUUGACACAUAAGGAACCAUGCAAUUGAUUUGACUUCAAUACAAGAACUUGUAGCCGUGGAAGACUUCCCAACCAAUGAGGAAAUGUAUCAUUGAUCUUGUUGUUACCAAGAUCUAGCACUUCCAGACCAUUACAAUUAAGGAUGGAUGGUGUCAAAGGCCCUUCUAACAGAUUUCCAUUUAAGUUGAAAUUACUCAAUUGGCAUCCCAUUGCAAAUGUUGGAGGAAUCGUCCCAUAGAACUUGUUCUUCUUCAGAUUCAAGAAUAGAAGGCUGUUGCUCAAAUUUCCAAAACAUUGUGGAAUUGUUCCACUCAAGUUAUUGUGGGACAAAUCAAGAAUUUCAAGAAAAGCGGCAUUGCAUAUUAAAGAAGAGACCUCUCCAUUGAAACUAUUAUUAGAGAUCAAAAAGACAUUGAUGGUCGAAGCUGGAAUCGGAAGAUUUCCACUGAUCAAAUUGGAGCUUAAGUCAAGAACGUCAAUAUUCUUCCAUGGAAAGUGCUCAACUUCUGUCAAAGAGUUGUGAGAUACGUUUAAGUAAGUCAAAGAGUCAUUCCCCACCUCUUGCAUCCACUGUGGAAUCUUGCCUUCAAUUUUGUUGUAAGAGAGGUCUAAGCUUUCCAAACUUUUAAGCCCUUUUAAAAAUUGGGGGAAUUCACUAAGAUUGCAAGAUGACAAAAACAACCUUGUAAGAUUAACAGUAGAAGUAGUAUUAGAUGUUAAGGAUAGGCUGUUAUAUGAAAGGUCAAGAGAUUCGAGAUUUGGAAGGUUUGAGAACAUGCGAAACUCUAUGACACCACUAAGAUAAUUUGAGGAUAAGCUAAGUUGGGUAAGAUUGAGAAGUUGGAAUAUUGAAGAUGGAAGAGGACCUUGGAGUUUAUUAUUCUCUAACGCUAUCCAUUCUAGUGAUUUGGAUUGGAAUUCUUUGAUAUGCCCACUGAAUUGAUUUUGAGAGAGUUUUAUAUCCUUUAAGGAGGGAGCAGUAUACAACCAUGAUGGAAGUUGUCCACUGAGUAAAUUGUUAGUUAAGUCUAAAGAUAUUAGAUUAGGAAAAGCGGUUACCUCAUCUGGAAUAGAACCUUUUAAUGUAUUUCCAGCUAUUCUCAAGUAUUCCAGCUGCGUUAGGUUUAGAAUUGACAAUGGAAUUUGUCCAUUCAAUUGGUUCUGCCACAAGCCUAAAUAAGUGAGUUGCAAGAGGUUCCCCAAUGAUCUUGGAAUUUGUCCACUCAAUUGGUUUUGCCACAAGCCUAAAUAAGUGAGUUGCAAGAGGUUCCCCAAUGAUCUUGGAAUUUGUCCACUCAACUGGUUCCCCGAUAAGUCUAAAUGAGUGAGUUGCAAGAGAUUCCCCAGUGAUUUUGGAACCGGUCCUGAUAAGUUGGAAUAGGAGAGAUCUAAAAACUUCAAGGACACAAGAUUACCCACCGAGUCUGGCAAUCCUCCAAAAAAAUUUGCGCCUGAAAUUAUCAAUUGCUCCAAAGAUGAUAAAUUUGUGAUUGAGACAGACAAUCCUUGAAAGAAAAAAUUUCCUGAUAGACCUAAGGACUUUAAGGCCUGUAGAUUAUCAACUGAAUCAAUGAAUUCUGUAGAGAAGGACGUCCAUGACAGAUCCAAAUGUUCAAGAUUGCUGCUCCGAUUCAACUUCAAAGGAUCAAGAUUGAGGUUUUGGUUGUUUCCCAAGUUGAGGAGAUUGAGGUUUGGCAAAUCAAAAAUGUUGUUUGGGAAUUUUCCUUGCAAAUCACAACCAGCAAGACUGAGAGACCUUAGAGAAGAGGAUAGAUUCAUGAAGACAUGAGCAUUAACAGAAGCCAUCUCCAUUCCAUCCAAAAACAGAUGUCUGACCUCGGUUAGGUUUUGAACAAGUCCCUCCAGAGCAUGUUUGUCUCCUACAAACCCUGUACUGGAAAGGUCGAGGUAGAGUAGGCUUGUAAACCGACCUAACUCGGAUGGAAUUUCGGAAAGAUUAAACUCAUUGUAGGCAAGGUUGAGUUUUUGAAGGUGAGGAAGAAGGAAGAGAGUGGAAUUGGAAGGGAAGUUGCCAUAUAGCCAACUGCAGCUCAAGUCAAGGGCAAUAACAUGAGCAUUUAGGUGGUCACAAGUGACCCCAUCCCAUGAGCAGCAAUCUGUACCCUCCUUCCAUGAAUUUGUCUUGGGAUAAGAUUUAUGGCCAGCAAUCUCAUUGCAAUAAGAAGAAGCGUCCUCUGUUAUGGAAAAAGAGUCCUUAAACUGGAUUAGUGAAGAGCAGGAGUGAGAUCCAGAAGAAGAAAAAGAAGCAUAAAGAUGGGGAAAGAAGAGGAAUAGGCAGAGGAAGAGAUAGGGGGCCAUGUUAUGUCUGUAGAGGAAGAUGAAGGAUAGGAAUGGUAUUUAUAGGCAACAAAUAAUACCGCAGUGUUACAGUCUUUUUUUCUUUUACAUUGAGAAGCUAUGGAGAUUAGAUUUUCAAAAUUUUUGUAUUUUUAACAAUCAUCAACAGUCACUUAGUCUUCUUUUUACCAUAUAUUUUUCAUUCUUAAAAUUGGAUGCUAUCUUUUCGCAAAAUCUUGUGGAAAUUCUUUAGCCUUCUUCUCUAUAACACUUAAAGAAUGUGUGUAUGUAUUCAUUUGCCUGUCAACUAAAGCUAAUUAAUGUGGAAAUUCUUUUCCACCCAAAAGAACAAAAUUGUGCUCUAUUCAUUAAGUUUGAGGAAGAAGAUUGCUGGAAAUUUAAUCUACCGAUUCCAUAAAAAACGUGUAUACUUAUAUAACCUCAUAAUUCAAAUCUAAAAUCUCAUUUGUUAUAAAUUCUGAUAAAUUUCUUUGGAAUUGCUAUUUUUCAUUUGUUAAUUAUUUCUCUUUUAAUCGAGUAAAAAAUUAAAACUAAAAAGACAUAAUGAUUUAUUUGGCAUUUUUAAACUUUACAAAUAAAAAAUCAUUUUAGCUUUUCAUUUUUUUAUCUCUAUUAAAUCACCCAAAAAAAAUAAUGAAAAAGACUAACAAAACUAGCACCUACGUGGCUGAUGUUGACCCUUAGUAGUUAAUGACAACAUCUACGUAGUUGUUAACAGAUACCACACUAACACUGUUUGUUGACGUGACAAUGCCACAUGAUCAAUAAUCACCGACAUGGUAGCGCCACGCUAUCGCCCAUUGGUGACAUAUUGAUGUUUGAGUUAAACUCAAAUUACUAUUUCCUUUGUUAUAAAUUAAGAGUAUAACUAAUUUUGAUAAGAAUGAUUACUUUUCAUUAACUCAGUCUAAAGGACUAUAACACGUAAAGUUUGGCCUAUUGCAGAAUUCACAUGCAAUGCGGGGCAUUUACAUUAUGCAGAAUUCGGCACAUAUAUGGGAAUUUUUGUAUUUCCACAAUCAUCAUGUUGUUCGUGAUCAACAACUACUUCCUUUUUACCAUAUAUUUUUCAUUCAUAAAAUUGAUUACUUUUUUUUUUACGAAAGAAGUAAAAUUAUUAACAUUCAUGAUAUUACAAAGCCUUCUUCCUUAUAACACGUCAAGUUUGGCCCCAAAUAAUUUUCCAGACAAAAGAAUUAAGAGGAAGGAGACUGCUACAGAUUGACUAUACUUUUAACUCCACAAACAAAGACUAAGACUAUCAAUUGUCUAUUGACUACACUUUAACUCGACAAAAACAGAUUGACUAUACUUUUAACUCCACAAACAAAGACUAAGACUAUCAAUUGUCUAUUGACUUCACUUUAACUCGACAAAAACAGACUAAUAAGACUUUGGUUGGCUGUAAUGGGCUAUUGACUAUACUUUAACUCCGCAAAAAAAGACUAAGGCUAUCAAUUGUCUAUUGACUUCACACUUGCUGUUGCUUCCUCCUAUCUCUAUCACUUGCUUCCUCCUAUCUCUAUCACCCAAACUUAAUUUACAAGCAAUGUGGAAAUUUUGGACAUUUGGGCCACAAUGUACAAUACUUCCACACCAUUUGCAGUAUUGACUACGUUUACUUGAGGGCAAACAAAGACAUGAAUGCUGGAAAUUUUAACUAGUUUGUACCGUCAAUGAAGCUACGUACCUAAAAGCAAUGUAUUAUCACCGUCUCCAGAAAUUUUGCUAAUUCAAUUUCCCAAGAAAUAUGAUUAAUUUUGGUUAAAUUGGAGUGAACAUUACUAUUUCUGUUUUAGCAAUUAAAGCAACCUAUAUGUACCCUUUUACAGUCUGCAUUGUUCCAUGUUUCCAUUCAUUACAUCAUUCCUUCAACUCUGCUAUAUAUUAUCACCGUCUCCAGAGAACCAAACCUUUUACUGCUAACUUGUAAAAAAAUUAUGAAAAUACAACAGAGAUUAUUGAGACAUUGUUGAAGUUGGCUUGCAUGCAGUAGACAUUGUUAAUCUUAUUAUUAUUAUUAUUAUUAUUAACUCAUGAACCCAUGGUUACACUUCCAACAGAGGUGAGAGAGGUUAAGAGUAGCCAUGAGCCAUCUAGUCAUGCUCCUGUUGUUGAGGAUGCCUCUGAAACUGCACAAGCUCUCAGCCCGAAUUCAAAUCUAAAAUCUCAUUUGUUAUAAAUUCUGAUAAAUUUAUUUGGGAAUUGCUAUUUUUCAUUCGUUAAUUAUUUCUCUUUUAAUCGAGUAAAAAAUUAAAACUAAAAAGACAUGAUAAUUUACUUGGCAUUUUUUAACUUUACAAACAAAUAGUCAUUUUAGCUUUCCAUUUUUUUUUUCUCUUUUAGCCUUGAAACUUAUAUGGUUCCUUAAAUCACUCCAAAAAAAAUGAUGAAAAAGACUAACAAAUUCUAGCACCUACGUGGCUGAUGUUGACCCUAGUAGUUAAUGGCAACACCUACGUAGUGGUUAACAGAUACCACACCAACACUGUUUGUUGACGUGACAAUGCCAAAUGGUCAAUAAUCGCUGACAUGGUAGCGCCACGCCAUCGCCCAUUGAUGACAUGUUAACCUUUGAGUUAAACUCAAAUUACUCUUUCCUUUGUUAUAAAUUAAGAGUAUAAAUAAUUCUGAUAAGAAUAGUUACUUUUCAUUAACUCAGUUUAAAGGACUAUAACACGUAAAGUUUGGUCUAUUGCAGAAUUCACAUGCCAUGCGGGACGUUUACAUUAUGCAGAAUUCAACACAUAUAUGGGAAUUUUUGUAUUUCCACAAUCAUCAAAUAAUUUUCAUAAAUUGAUUACUUUCUUUUUACCAUAUAAUUUUCAUUCAUAAAUUGAUUACUUUUUUUUUACAAAAGAAGUAAAAUAAUUAAUAUUCGUGAGAUUACAAAGUCUUCUUCCUUAUACACGUCAAGUUUGGUCUCAAAUAAUUUUCCACACAAAAGAAUACUUUUAACAAUCAAUUGUCUAUUGACUAUACUUUGAACUCCACAAAAAAGACUAAGACCUUCAAUUGUCUAUUGACUACACUUUAACUCGACAAAAAAAGACUAAGACUAUCAAUUGUCUAUUGACUAUCAAUUGGUUCCAUGACAAGUCUAAAUAUAUGAGCCACAAGAGGUUCCCCAAUGAUCUCGAAAUUGAUCCCCGUAAAUUGGAAUUAGAGAGAGACAAAUAUUUCAAGACAUGCAGGUUGUCAAUCAAAUCAAUCAAUUUCGUAAAGGAGGACAUCCAUGACAGAUCCAAAUGUUCAAAAUUACUGCUCUGAUUGAACUUCAGAAGAUCAAGACUAAGGAUUCGGUUGUAUCCUAAGUUGAGCAAAUUGAGGUUUGGCGAAUGAAGAAUGUUUCUUGAGAACUUUCCUUGCAAAUCACAACCACCAAGACUGAGAGACUUUAUAGAAGAGGAUAGAUUCAUGAAAACAUUAGGAUUAAUAGAAGGCAUGAUAAUUCUAACAAGAAAAAGAUGUGUCACCUCAGUUAGGUUGUGAACAAGUCCCUCCAAAGAAUUUUAUCAAGAGUUAAUUGGUGAGAAAAAACAUUAUGAGAGAGAUCAAGUGAAACCAAAUUUGACGAGUGGGAGAUUUGGGAUGGGACUUUUCCUGUAAAUAACGUUUUUUAGAUGUUAAGAUACACCAGCCUUGUAAACCGACCGAACUAGGAUGGAAUUUUGGAAAGAUUAAAAUCAUUGUAGGCAAGGUUGAGUUUUUGAAGGUGAGGAAGGAGGAAGAGAGUGGUAUUGGAAGGGAAGUUGCCAUAUAGCCAACUGCAGCUCAAGUCAAGGGCAAUAACAUGAGCAUUAAGGUGAUGACAAGUGACCCCAUACCAUGAGCAGCAAUCUGUACCCUCCUUCCAUGAAUUUGUCUUGGGAUAAGAUUUAAGGCCGUCAAAAUCAUCGCAAUACAAAGCAGCAUGGUCUGUCUGAGUGAUCGAAAAUGAAUUCUUGAACUGGAUUAGAGAAGCAGCUUCGUGGUGAGAGCAGGAGUGAGAUCCUGAAGAAGAAGAAGCAUAAAGAUGGGGAAAGAAGAGGAAUAGGCAGAGAGAGAGAUAGGGGCCAUGUUAUGUUUGUAGAGGAAGAUGAAGGAUAGGAAUGGUAUUUAUAGGCAACAAAUAGAAUCCAAUAUUAAACAAAAGCUUUGAUGAUUAAUACCACAACACCACUGUUACAGUGUUGUUUCUUUUAUGGUAUAAAGAUUGUUAUUGGAAGAGUUUGAAAUGCUGACAUUGAAAACCUAUAUUUUUCAAUACUCAUCAACAACCACUUCCUUUUUACCAUAUCUUUUUCAUUCCCAAAAUUGGAUACAUUGUUUUACCAAAAUUUUGUAUUUCAUUUGAACUCCCUAAACAACUGAGAAAAUUAACAUUGAUGAGAUUACAAAAUAGAUUGACUUAGUCUUCUUCCUUAUAAUACGUAAAAAAAAAUGUGAGUGUCUAUUCACUUAUAAUAUUUCCAUGCUAGAGGUAGUUUUUGGAAAAUCUUUAAUUAAACCUUAAUUUCAUUUUGUUAAAAUUUUUAACUGGAUUAUCGAAUUGGCUUCUGAUUGUAGGUUGAUCAAUGAUGGGCUGAUUUCUUCUUCUUCUUUUUUAAUUUUUUUAGGGUUUAUAAUAUACUGCUUAAUGUUGUUGAUUUAUUUUUCUGAUCAUCGUUUCAUUCGUUUGUUGAAGAUAACUGAAUUUUUAUUGGUUGUAAUUGGACUUGGGUUUUAGCCAAUGACUAUAAUCAAAGGGUUAAUUUAAGGUUCGAAUGAAUUAUUUGAAAAUUUUAUUAUUUUUCUUUUCAAUUAGUUGUUUUACAAGGAUUUAACUUAUAUUAGUCAAAUGAACUGGGUUUAAAAAAUGAACAAGAACGAAGAAAUUGGAUGGUUGACUGGACACUGGAAAGGGGAAAAGCUAAAAGUUGUAAAUGUUUUGAAUAUAGAGUUGUAUUCUUUUCAUGGCUUCAGAAAAAUGUAUGCAAUGUUUGGCCAGCGAUAAUGGACAAGUUUUUUUAAACCUCCAUGCCUAAGUCAUGCUUUCAUAAACAUGGGCAGCUAACACCGAGAAGUCAGUAAGCGAUUUAAAAGUGAAGCUCAUAUGCGUCAUUGCUACUCGCUUUGCAGCUAAACUCCUGAGUGACCGGGGAUGGUUGAUUUGAGGUUUAAUUCUAGCUAGUAGAUUCUUAGGUUUGUUAAGGGUCUUUUUGGAGACAAAUGUCUGAGAUUGCUGGAAAAUGCUUCUUACCAUCAUAUUAAUGUCUAUUCGGGUUGCGUUUUCUUAGAGUUUUGGAUUCUUUGCAUCUUAUCAUAAAAUUGAGUUAGAUAUAACAUGUCAUUGUUAUCUGUUAAUUGUUUCACUUGGGACCAGGAGCAUGGUGGCAACUCAAUACAGCUGUAAAUGCAUAUUUCAGCGAGGGUGAUAGGUAUAUAUUUAUGAAUUAUGCUAAUAUUUUGUUAUGAUAAGUAAUUCUAGGUUUAUAGCUUUAUUGGUUUGUUUGUUUUCUCAUGUUUCCUACAAAAAUAAGGCCAACAUCAACCAUAGUUUCUGUAGAUUAUGCCAUGGAUAUAAAUGAUCCAAAUGAAGUUGUACCAAAUGGGCCAGUCCCUUCCAUUUCUACCAUCAUCUAGAACAAACGAACAAUCGUCUCUUCAUCAUCGAAACUUCCAUAGCAGUUUCUUCGAUGGUGAUUCUGGUUCAACUUAUGAACCAAUUGAUACAUAUCCAACAGAGGUGAGAGGGGUUAAGUAUAGCCAUGAGCCAUCUAGUCAUGCUCCUGUUGUUGAGGAUGCCUCUGAAACUGCACAAGCUCUCGGCCCGAAUUCCCAUGAGACUGUUACAAUUGGUGAAGUAGGUGACGAUUCAAUUGCGCAGCCAAGGUGGCAGAAUGAUAACUGUAACAACCAGCAUGUUACACCCAGCGCUCCUGCCUUUGAUAAUUUGCUAGACUAUGGCGAUGACAUUGAAGAACAAAUGAUUCAAGCUGCCAUUGAGGCCUCUAAGCGGGAUGCUGAGGCAAGUUUUAAAAAAAGGACGCUUCCAAUUUGAUAGUGUUGUGGUGCCCUUCAUUCUUGUAGUUGCUGUAAAUGCUUGUUUUACAGAUUGCCUUUUUCAUGUUUAAAGUGUUAAAGUGUUGCAAAUUGAAGUGUUUUAAGUAAUGCAAAUUGAAUUGUUUAGUUGCUGGAAAUUGAGAUGUUUUAUGGCCGUAAUUGAGUGUAUAAAUGUUGUAAAUUGAAGUGUUUUAUUGCUGGAAAUUGGAUGCAUGGUAUAAUGACAUGAUAGAAUGUCAUUACAAUGUUGUAACUUUUUGAUGUUGUAAAAUCAUAUGGAUUAUGACAUCUAAACUAAUGAAAUCGUGUAACUUUUUAUUAAUAUAUGAAUAUUAUGUUGGGAUGUGAAAUAUAAUUCUCAAGUUAUUUAUUACUUCUAAUAUCUAAUAUUUCAUUGUAGAAUAAUUAAAAUUAUUUGUUUCACUAAUGAUAUUUUAGCACAUUCAAUAUCUAUUGCAGUUUAAAAAUAAUAAUUUAGAUUAUAUAUUAUUUUUAUAGUAUUAUAUAUUAUGAUUUUAGUAAAUUCAUAUAAUAGUAAUUAUAUUAAGAAUUUUAUUAAAUUAUAUUUAAUAAUAAUUAUGUUAAAAUAUGGUUAAAUUAUUUAUUAUCUUUAUUAAAUUAUUUUUAAUAAUAAUCUUUUUAAAAUUUAAUAACAAUAACAAAAAUCAUCUACUUAAAAAAGAUUCUGCUAAGGGUAUUCUAGUCAUUUUAGUUUUUUCCUUAUGCAAUUACAACAUCAUUCCAUUCAACCAAACACAAGAAUACCAUUACAGUUCUAUUCCGUUCCAUUCAACCAAACAAUUGAAUUACUGAUUACAGCUCUAUUCCAUUACAGUGAACCAAAUAUAUCCUUAGUAUGAAUGGCUGUCGAGGCAUGUAGAAAUUUGCACACAAAAGAACAAAAUUGUGCACUACUUAAAACUUCAAAGCAUGUGUGGCCUUAAUUUAAUUUUUCAUCUUUUUUAGCCCUUAAACCUACAUUGUUUAUCAGAUGAAAAAAUUAAUAUCUAUUAACUUUGCUAAUGUGCAAGCAUAUGCAACUUCUUUUAAAUCUAAAAAAUAUAAAAAUAAUUAAAUAUGUAUAAAUCUAAAGAUAUCUUAAACUUAAAACUAAAAUUUUUUAAACUAAUGCAAAUUUUUAUUAUUUAAAAAAUCUUAAAAUUUUCAAAUUAAAUUCCAUUUGUUUUCCACCGUUGAAGAACACCUUUAAUCACAACUUCAUGCUGUAUUGCCUAGAAAUUGUUUUGCAAAUUUAUUUUGUUUUAUUUAUUUCUAAACCCAUAUUUCUUUUCUAUAACUCCAAUUAUUAGAUUGUUUAGGGUUUUGAGUAACUUUCGAUUUUGGAAUUUUAGAUUUUUUAAAUUUAAAUAUGAAGUGCUCUUCUUCUUCUCCAAACCCACAAAUUUUUCUGCCAAAUUUCUACUCAAGGUUUUACUUUCAGCUAUAAAUAAAGCGUAUAUUAUAUUUAUAAUGAUCUAAGAAUAGUAGAGUCGAUGCCGAUCUACAUGAAAAAGGAUGAAAAAAAAAGGCAAAGAAUGAUAAUAUGAAGAGAGCAUAAAUCAAUAAAGCAAAUGAAAAACGAGCAGGAUUAAAGUAAAUGGGUAUUUAAUAUUUUUUUGUGAAAGUUCAAAGACUGAUUAUUUAUAAAAUUGGAUGUGGAAAAAUUAGUUGGAAUUUUUUUUCUUACACCAAUUGAUUUUUUAUAUAAAAUUUUUAUUUAUUUUUAAGUGUUGAAACCACUUUUUGAAAACAAAAAAAAAGUGUUACUUUUAUUUUGAAAACGGAAACGAAAAAAUGGGAGUCGCCACCGAUAUUUUUUUUGAGGUGUGAUCGGAUCACCUUAAAACAAUUUUGGUCUACGAAUAAAAAAAUGGGUCCGGGAGUCAAUUACGUAGGAGGAAGGAUUAGCACCCUCAUAACGCCCAAAAUUGAUACCGAAUUGCAUAAUUAAUGUCUUAAAGUCGAAUGUCGAAAAUUCAAAAAGAUUAAAAAUGAUCCCCUUUAAUUAAUGACAUAUUUUUAAACAAUAUUUGUAUAAAUUUGAUCAUAUGUAGAAAGGUCUUCUCAUCCUGAGUCAACAAAAUGUCGUAUCCCAUAAGUUAGGAUGCGACAUUUAGAUUUCCGAGCAUAAUCUAGCCUUUAAAACCCUUUAUUGAAACUUUAUGUAUUUGAAAACUAAAAAUGUUUGACCAUCUUGGUUCAAUGAGGAAAUCGAAAACCCGUAAGUUAGGACAAAUUUCCUCAAAGUUCCAAAGACGAUAUAUACGUUUGCCUUUAUUUAAAAAAAAAAGAUACUCGGUUACUUAAAUUCAACGAGGAAAAUUGGAGCCUAAUAAGUUAGGGCACAAUCUUCUCGAAAAUAUUGGAUACCGGGUAUUACGUUAUUUUGAAAACUUUGAAUAAAAUGAUUUCAAUACUUUGACUAAACGCAACAUUUUAAAUGAAUAAAAUGCGAUGGAACAAUAACGUAUAACGCGAAGUGAUAAUUCGUAAACUAAAAUAUACGCUAAUGAUCGACAAAGAAUCAAUGAAUACGAGUAAGCAAUACAAUACAUCAUAUAAGAGCAACAAUCUCAUAUCCCACAUUAUGCAAAUACUAACAUCCAUUUUAGCAAGCUAAAUGAAUUAAAAGUUAAUUAAAGAACAGCAAGCAAAUUAAUGUAAAUCUAAUAUAACAAGCUUUAAAAUAAAAUAAAAAUAAAAAUCAUGAAAAAGAGGAAAAUUCAAACACUAAAUUGUAUGUAUAAAAUAUUUGGCACAAAUAAUAUAUAGGAAAACUUGCAAUAAAAAAAUGAAGAAAAUAAAGAAUAAAUAAGAUGCAAAAUAAUACAUGUUCAUCUAAAUAAGUAGUACAUAUAAAAUAAAAUUUUAAUAUAAAUGUUGAAAUAAACAAAGCGUGUAAUUGAACAUCAUUUCCACUAACUAGAUCCUUCUUCGUCAACUGCUGCGAUUGCCUUUCUUUGACUUUCUUUUUCGCCUCUUCUCAUGUUGGUUUUCAACCAAAUUCACCAACCAUUUCGGUUUUCCAGUUUGGAAAACAACAUAUCCCACCAACAUUCCGAACACUACUCCGCAUCCAUAACCUAUCAACACCACUUUCCAACCAAAAGUAAUGUUUGAUUUUGAGCCAUCUUUUUCAAGCACAUCUGGAGGUGUUGGCGCAAUGAUGUUGCAACCUUUCGAGACCGGAAACCCACAUAUGAAUCAUUUCCAAAUGUGUUGAAUUGUUUGCCUUGAGGAAUCUGACCAUGGAGUUGAUUUUCAGAAACAUUUAAGGACAAAAGAAAUGGCAGAUCUACCAAUCUAUUUGGAAUGGUUCCAGACAACCUGUUUGAAGAUAGUGUUGGCACAUAAUUAAAUUAACCUUGCACAAAUAAAUUAUGAAAAGUUAGAAGAGUGAAGAGACUUGAAUAUGAAAAGUGAAAAAACUUGAAUAUGAAUAGUGAAGAGACUUGAAGAUGAAAAGUUAAGAGGCUUGAAUAUGAAAAGAUACACACAUGCAUGAAUAGUCACAACUCCUAGCAUAUAGUGAUAUAGAUGAAUAGUCACUUACAACUCCUAUAUAAAGAGUUGUAUGUGAUGAAGAAUUAUUAACUUUGUGUGCUUGAAAUAAAAGAUUAUUUGAAAGAAUUUUUUCAUACAAAAUUUAUUUCUCUUCUCCAUUAUAUUCUUUAUCAUUUUCUUUGUUUUAUUUCUCCAAAUAUUAAUCAUUCAACUACAAAUUGGUAUCAAAGCCUUGUUCAAUCGAAAUGAACAAUUCUAUUCCUCUUUCUUCCGUUCCCCAAUUAACCAAAGAAAAUUAUGGCAAAUGGAGUAUCCAAAUGAAGGCUCUUCUUGGAUCUCUAGAAGUUUGGGAGAUUGUUGAAAAAGGUUAUAAUGAAGUUGAGGGUGAAGAGGAGGAAGGAUUAACACAAGUUCAAAAAGAGAGUCUAAGAAAAUCAAGGAAGAAAAAUCAGCAAGCCUUAUUUUGGAUAUAUCAAGGAGUUCAAUCAUAUGAAGCGGCUUGGGAAAAAAUAGCUUGUGCCACCACGGCAAAACAAGCAUGGGAAUUUUUACAAAAUUCAUUCAAAGGAGAUGAAAAGGUGAAAAGAGUUCGGUUGCAAACUCUUUGAGGAGAGUUUGAAAGAUUGCAAAAAAUAGAGUCAGAAUCAGUUUCUGAUUACUGUUCACGGGUUUUGUCCAUAGUCAAUCAAUUAAAAAGAAAUGGUGAAACUAUGGAUGAUAUUCGUGGUGUUGAGAAAAUCCUCCGUUCUUUAGAUUCCAAAUUUGACUACAUUGUGGUUGCCAUAGAAGAAUCAAAGGACUUGAGUACCAUGACUAUUGAUGAACUCACAGGUUCGUUGCAAGCCCAUGAAGAAAGAUUAAACAAGAAGAAAAAGGAAGUAGAUCUAGAUCAAGCACUUCAGUCAAAGUUGUCUCUAAAUGAGAAUAAGGGAGAUUUUAAAAAUCAAAGAGGGAGAGAUCGUGGUCGUGGAAGAGGAAGAAAUUUUAGAGGAAGAGGCUCAAAUGCUCGUGAAAGAGGUGAAGAUGUAAGCAUGGAGAAUGGAUGGAAAGAAGCCAACCAAAGUCAAAAUUUUAGAGGAUCACAAAGAGGACGUGGACGUAGAAAUCAAAGAGGAAGAGGUCGUGGCUAUUUUGAAUGUUAUAAUUGUCGCAAACCUGGUCAUUUGGCAAGUGAAUGCUGGUACAAAGAAGAAGAGAAAAAUGAAGCUAAUAUAGUACAAAAUAAUCAAGAGCAAAAGCAAGAAACUUUGUUGCUCGUAUCUCAUGGUGGAGAGAUUGAUGAUGUCUGGUACAUAGACAGUGGUGCUAGCAAGCAUAUGACAGGUAACAAAAAUUUAUUUUCGAAGUUCUUUGAAUCUGAUUGUGGAGAAGUAAAAGUAGGAGAUGGCAAAGCUUACAAAGUUAGCGGUGUUGGUGAGUUGGAGUUCAAAACAAAGCAAGGAAGGGUAGAGAAAAUGUCUGAAGUUUAUUUUGUUCCUGGUCUUAAAAAUAAUCUGCUUAGCGUUGGGCAUCUCUUGAAGAAGGGGUAUGAUAUUCAUUUCCGAGACAUGGCUUGCUAUUUAUCAAAGAAAAAUCAGGUUGUUGCUAGAGUUGGAGUGGCAUCAAAUAAUCUUUUCUCUCUUACCCUUCAAAAUCAGAAUAUGUCUUGUUUUAUUGGUGCUCAUAAAGGAAUUUCAAAGUUAUGGCAUGAUAGAUAUGGACAUUUAAACUAUGGAAAUUUGGAGAUGCUUUCAAGGAAGAUGAUGGUUAGAGGUUUACCAAAAAUCGAUCGGCUUGAUGAUGUUUGUGAAGCAUGUCAACUUGGAAAGCAACAUAAAAUUGCUUUUCCUUCUCAAUCCUCGUGGAAAGCAAGAAGACCAUUGCAACUUAUUCACUCAAAUCUUUGUGGUCCAAUGACAGUUUCAUCUUUAGGAGGUAAUCGUUACUUUAUCUCUUUCAUUGAUGAUUACUCAAGAAAGUUAUGGGUGUAUUGUGUCAAAGAAAAAUCAGAGGCUUUUCAGAGAUUCAAAGAUUUCAAGGCAGAAGUGGAGAACUUUACUGGGUUGAAAAUUAACACCUUGCGUACAGAUCGUGGAGGUGAAUAUUUUUCAAAAGAAUUUGAGAAAUAUUGCCGAGAUAGUGGCAUCCGGCAUGAAAUGACAGUCCGCCAUACACCUCAGCAAAAUGGUGUGUGUGAAAGAAAGAACAGAACAAUUAUGGAAAUGGCUAGAUGUCUUCUUAAUAAGAAGAGGUUAUCAAGAAGAUUUUGGGCUGAAGUUGUUUCCUGUGCAGUUUAUCUUAUAAACAGAUCACCGACAAGAAGCUUGGAGAAUUACACACCACAUGAGGCGUGGUAUGGUAUAAAGCCUAGUGUUAGUCAUCUUAGAGUAUUUGGGAGUGUUGCCUACUCUCUAUUCCAGAUGCAAUGAGAAGCAAGUUGGAUGACAAGUCAGAGAAAUGCAUUUUUAUUGGCUAUAGUGAAAGAAGUAAGGCAUACAAGUUGUAUAAUCCGGUGACAAAGAAGAUUGUGAUAAGCCGAGAUGUUCGGUUUGAUGAAAAUUCCAUGUUUGAAGAUAUGGAAGUUGAAAAGGAAAAUUUGCCAAUUUUUCCUUUUGAACUUGAAGAAGAAGAAGAGGCAGUAAUUGAGAAUGCUGAAGAUGAUGCUCAAGUAGAAAAUCCUCCUGCUUCCCCAUGUUCUUCAUCAAAUUCUUCUUCAUCCAGCCCGAUCCGAAAAACGAGAAGCAUCCAAGAGUUAUAUGAUGUAACGGAUGAAGUUGUGCAAAAUGAUGCUGUAUUCUUUGCCUUCUUUGCAGGAGAAGAUCCAAUUUCUUUUGAUGAUGCAUAUCAAGAAGAAAUAUGGAGGAAAGCCAUGAAAUAAGAGAUUUUCUCAAUUGAAAACAAUGAUACAUGGGAACUCACAGAUUUACCGCCGCACAAGAAUUCAAUUGGAGUCAAAUGGGUGUACAAGACAAAGAUGAAUCCGAAUGGCUCUAUCAACAAGUACAAGGCAAGACUGGUUGCAAAAGGAUACAAGCAAAAGGAAGGAGAAGAUUUUACAGAGGUAUUUGCUCCAGUUUCAAGACUUGAGACAGUUCGGUUACUUAUUUCUCUUGCUGCCCAAAAUAAUUGGAAAAUAUUCCAAAUGGACGUAAAAUCUGCGUUUUUGAAUGGUGUUCUCAAAGAAGAAGUCUAUGUUGAUCAACCACCAGGGUUUGUCAAAAAAGGAGAAGAAGAAAAAGUUUACAAGUUGAAGAAAGCUUUGUACGGGUUGAAGCAAUCACCCAGAGCAUGGUACAGCCGCAUCGAUUCUUAUUUUCAGAAGUGUGGAUUCCAGAAAUCUCCAUAUGAGCAUACUCUCUACAUCAAAGGCAAUUAUCAAGGAAGAUUCAUGGUUGUAAGUCUCUACGUUGAUGAUCUUAUUUUCACAGGAAAUGAUGUGAAGAUGUUGAAAGAAUUUCAGCACUCAAUGAUGGCAGAAUUUAAGAUGACAGAUUUGGGAGAACUUCAUCAUUUUCUUGGCAUUGAAGUUCAUCAAUCCGAGAAAGGAAUUUUUAUUUCACAAGAGAGCUACGCAAAGGAAGUUCUAAAAAAAUUCAUGAUGGAAAAUGCGAAUCCAGUCUCUACUCCAUGCAUUACAGGUCUGAAGUUAUCUAAAGAGGGUGAAGGAAAGCUUGUCAAUUCCACCAUAUUCAGAAGUUUGGUUGGGAAGUUGAUGUAUCUGACUUCGACAAGGCCUGAUAUCGUGUAUGUUGUUAGCUUGGUAAGUAGAUUCAUGGAGAAACCUUACUCCAAUCACUGGGAGGCUGCCAAGAGAAUAUUGAGAUAUGUGAAGGGAACCAUUGAUUAUGGAAUUUUCUAUAAAUCUAAUACAUUAGUUGAUCUCAUUGGUUAUACGGAUAGUGAUUUAGCAGGAAGCAUUGAUGAUAGCAGAAGCACUUCUGGUUAUGUUUUUCACCUUGGUAGUGGUGCAGUUUCAUGGAGUUCAAAGAAACAAUCAAUUGUGGCGCUUUCGACUAUAGAAGCUGAAUAUAUCGCUGCAUCUUAUGCAGGAUGUCAAUUGAUUUGGUUACGUGGAAUUUUGGAAAGUCUUAAGCAGAAGCAAAGCAAGUCAACAAUUUUGUUUUGUGACAAUAGUUCUACUAUUUCGGUCACAAAAGAUCCAAUUCUUCAUAGAAGGACAAAACACAUUCGCAUUCGAUAUCACUUCUUGAGAGAACUAGUGAAUAAUGGUGAUGUUCAAGUUGAAUAUUGCAAGACGGAAGAUCAGAUGGCUGAUAUCUUCACAAAGCCUCUAAGUGGACAAGUCUUCAAGAAAAAUGUUGAAAGGUUGGGAGUUCAAAGCAAGUUUAAUUUAAGGGAGGCAUUGUUGGCACAUAAUUAAAUUAACCUUGCACAAAUAAAUUAUGAAAAGUUAGAAGAGUGAAGAGACUUGAAUAUGAAAAGUGAAAAAACUUGAAUAUGAAUAGUGAAGAGACUUGAAGAUGAAAAGUUAAGAGGCUUGAAUAUGAAAAGAUACACACAUGCAUGAAUAGUCACAACUCCUAGCAUAUAGUGAUAUAGAUGAAUAGUCACUUACAACUCUUAUAUAAAGAGUUAUAUGUGAUGAAGAAUUAUUAACUUUGUGUGCUUGAAAUAAAAGAUUAUUUGAAAGAAUUUUUUCAUACAAAAUUUAUUUCUCUUCUCCAUUAUAUUCUUUAUCAUUUUCUUUGUUUUAUUUCUCCAAAUAUUAAUCAUUCAACUACAGAUAGGUCCAACCAUUCAAGACUUGUCAAAUCCCCUACUGAGGUAGGGAUACCACUAUUAAGGUUAUUAUGAGAAAGGUUGAGCCCUUUCAGUAAGUUAAGCUUCCCAAUAACCUUUGGAAUCUCCCCUUCAAACUGAUUGCUUGAUAGAUCAAUGAUCACCCACAUAGUGAAAAUUUUCACCAAUUCCACGUCUUGUCCUUUCAUAACAAUUCCAAUGGAAUAGGCAUAGAAGUCAUCUCCAUCAUUCACCCCCAUGUACGACACUGUACUACUAACCUUCUCUAGAUUUAUGAUAGCCUUGAAGCUGUUGAUGUAUCUCACUAGUAGGGGUCCAGAAAAAUAAUUACUUGAGAGGUCAAAAAUUUGGAUUUUAGAGAAAAAAGGGCUAGACUUGGAGUUAUUGACACACAGGGAACCAUGCAUUUGAUUUGACUUUAGUACAAGAACUUGUAGCUGUGGAAGACUUCCCAACCAAUGAGGAAAUGUAUCAUUGAUCUUGUUGUUACCAAGAUCUAGUACUUCCAGACCUCUACAAUUAAGGAUGGAUGGUGUCAAAGGCCCUCCUAACAGAUUUCCAUUUAAAUUGAAAUUACUCAAUUGGCAUCCCAUUGCAAAUGUUGGAGGAAUCGUCCCAUAGAACUUGUUCUUCUUCAGAUUCAAGAAUUGAAGGCUGUUGCUCAAAUUUCCAAAACACUGCGGAAUUGUUCCACUCAAGUAAUUGUGGGACAAAUCAAGAAUUUGAAGAUAAGUGGCAUUGCAUAUUAAUGAAGAGACCUCUCCAUUGAAACAAUUAUUUGAGAUCAAAAAGACAGUGAUGGUCGAAGCUGGAAUCGGAAGAUUUCCACUGAUCAAAUUGGAGCUUAAGUCAAGAACAUCAAUAUUCUUCCAUGGAAAGUGCUCAGCUUCUGUCAAAGAGUUGUGAAAUACAUUUAAGUAAGUCAAAGAGCCAUUCCCCACCUCUUGCAUCCACUAUGGAAUCUUGCCUUUAAUUUUGUUGCAAGAGAGGUCUAAGCUUUCCAAACUUUUAAGCCCUUUUAAAAAUUGGGGGAAUUCACUAAGAUUGCAAGAUGACAAAAAUAACCAUUCAAGAUUUCCACUGAUCAAAUUGGAGCUUAAGUCAAGAACAUCAAUAUUAUGACGAUAUAUAAGUUUCCCUUUAUUUUUUAAAAAAAAACCUCGUCUCGAGAUAUCGAAAGGUCAUAUCCAAUGAGUUAGGACACAACGUUUUGAAUUCCCGAGAUAAGCUUUAAUUUGAAAUUUUUAUAUUUUAAUUAAAAAAUGAUACUCAGUUACUUAAAUUCAACGAGGAAAAUUGGAGCCCAGUAAGUUAGGGCACAUUCUUCUCGAAAAUCUUGGAUACCGGGUAUUACGUUAUUUUGAAAACCUUUGAAUAAAACGAUUUCUAUACUUUGAUUAAAUGCAACCUUUUAAACGAAUAAAAUGCGAUGGAACAAUAACAUACAACCCGAAGUGAUAAUUCGUAAACUAAAAUAUAUGCUAAUGAUUGACAAGGAAUCAAUGAAUACGAGUAAGCAAUACAAUACAUCAUAUAAGAGCAACAAUCUCAUAUCCCACAUUAUGCAAAUACUAACGUCCAUAUUAGCAAGCUAAAUGAAUUAAAAGUUAAUUAAAGAACAGCAAGCAAAUUAAUGUAAAUCUAAUAUAACAAGCUUUAAAAUAAAAUAAAAAUAAAAAUCAUGAAAGAGAGGAAAGUGCUAAGGGAUAAGAUUGAAGGCCCGUAAUAUGAUCGCAAGACAAAGAAGCACGCUCUGUUAUGGAAAAAGAGUUCUUGAACUGGAUUAAUGAAGAGCAGGAGUGAGAUCCUGAAGAAGAAAAAGAAGCAUAAAGAUGGGGAAAAAAGAGGAAUAGGGAGAGAAAGAGAUAGGAGGCCAUGUUAUGUUUGUAGAGGAAGAAGGAUAGGAAUGGUAUUUAUAGGCAACAAAUAAUACCACAACAUUGGUGUUACAGUCUUUUUUUUCUUUUACAUUGAAAUGCUACAGAUAUUAGAUUUUCAAAAUAUUUGUAUUUUUCACAAUCAUCAACACUUAGUCGUCAUUUUACCAUAUAUUUUUCAUUCUUUUUUUUUUUAACAAAAUCUUGUAUAUCAUUUGGACUCGCUAAACAACUAAAAAAAUAAAGAUUGAUGAGAUUACAAAGUAGAUUGACUUAGUCUUCUUCCCUAUAACAUGUAAAGAAUGUAUGUGUCUAUUCAAUUGCCUGUCAACCAAAGCUUAUUAAUGUGGAAAUUCUUUUCCACACAAAAGAACAAAAUUGUGCUCUAUUCAGCUACGUUUGAGGAAGGAGACGGCUGGAAAUUUAAUCCACCGAUUCCAUAAAAACGUGUAUAUUUAUUUAUAAAUAUAUAUAUAACCUCAUGAUUCAAAUCUAAAAUCUCAUUUGUUAUAAAUUCUUAUAAAUUUAUUUGGGAAUAGUUAUUUUUCAUUCGUUAAUUAUUUCUCUUUUAGCCGUGAAACUUAUAUGGUUCGUUAAAUCGCCCCAAAAAAUGAUAAAAAAGAUUAACAAAACUAGCCCCUACGUGGCUGAUGUUGACCCUUAGUAGUUAAUGGCAACUCCUAUGUAAUUGUUAACAGAUACCACAGCAACAAUGUUUGUUGACGUGACAAUGCCACAUGACCAAUAAUCGUUGUCAUGGUAGUGCCACGCCGUCACCCAUUGAUGACAUAUUAACCUUCGAGUUAAACUCAAAUUGCUCUUUCCUUUGUUAUAAAUUAAGAGUAUAACUAAUUUUGAUAAGAAUAGUUACUUUUCAUUAACUCAGUUUAAAGGACUAUAACACGUAAAGUUUGGUCUAUUGCAGAAUUCACAUGCAAUGCGGGAUAUUUACAUUUUGAAGAAUUCAACACAUAUAUGGGAAUUUUUGUAUUUCCACAAUCAUAAUUUUGUUAGUGAUCAACAACUACUUCCUCCUUACCAUAUAUUUUUCAUUCAUAAAAUUGAUUACUUUUUUUAUCAAAGAAGUAAAAUAAUUAACAUUCUUAAGAUUACAAAGUCUUCUUCCUUAUAACACGUAAAGUUUAGUUCCAAAUAAUUUUCCACAAAAAAAAGACCAUCAAUUGUCGAUUGACUAUACUUUAACUCCAAAAAAAAGACUAAGACUAUCAAUUGUCUAUUGACUACACUUUAACUCGACAAAAAAGGACUAAGACUAAGACUUUCAAUUGUCUAUUGACUUCACACUUGCGGUUGCUUCCUCCUAUCUCUCUCACCCAAACUUAAUUUAGAAGCAAUGGGGAAAUUUUGGACAUUUGGGCCACAAUGAACAAUACUUCCACACCAUUUGCAGUAUUGACUACGUUUACUUGAGGGAAAACAAAGACAUGAAUGCUGGAAAUUUUAACUAGUUUGUACCGUCAAUGAAGCUACGUACCUAAAAGCCUUUUAGGAUAUCAAUUCCUGUAAUUGGAUUAAUCUCAUCGUUGCUGCAAUCUUUUGACAGUGUAAUCGAAUCUUAAAUAUGUUACUCUGCAAUGCUGUUGUAAAAAUUACUCUUAAAAUUGUCGAUAGAUAUAUAGGUUUGGCACAAAAUUAAGAAUACACAAAGGCAGGUUGAAUUAUUCCAUGUUUGAACAUAAAUUCAUAUGGCAAAAGGGCCCAAACCAUACCUUAUGUUCAUGAAUUCUCAUCAUCACAUGUUUAUAAAUGCAUCUCAAAACUUGAAUAAUUGAAUCUUUUGUAAUUCUACAUGUAUUUUUUUUUAUGGUGAGCAGUAUAAUGUUUACUAAAAAUUGAAAUUCAAGAAAGAAGACAUACAUAGUUGCACCAUACAAGUUGUUACACUCGAACUAAACCCUUACAAAUAGUACGAGAUGCAAUGAAAUACAGAGGAAUUGGUACAAUCAUAAAGACAGACACAUACCAAUGCAACUUUUCACCAUAGGAAAAACUUUCUGACAGACUACUAAACAAGAAAUUAUGAAGACACAGCAGAAAUGCUUUGACUUCUUUUGCACCAACUAGAUCCUUCUUCAUCCAUUGAUGCGAUUGCUAUAUUUUGGCUUUCUUCUUCGCCUCUUCUCAUGUUGGUUUUCAACCAAAUUCACAAACCUUUUCACCUUACCGGUUUGGAAAACAACAUAUCCCAUGGCCAUUCCAAACACUACCCCGCAUCCACAACCUAUCAACACCACUAUCCAACCAAAAGCAAUGUUUGCUUUUGAGCCAUCCUUUUCCAGCACAUUUGGAGGUGGUGUCUCAUUGAUGCUGCAACCUUUGGAGACUGGGAAUCCACAUAGUCUCUGUUUCCUUCAUAUGAAUUGUUUCGAAAUGUAUUGACAAUCUGACCAUGGAGUUGAUUUUCAGAAACGUUUAAGAAGAAAAGAAAUGCCGGAUCUGCCAAUAUCUCUGGAAUUAACUCAGUUCAAAUGACCAUAUAACUCGUAAAGUUUGGUCGAAGACUGGCAGCGUCUAUUGACUUCAACUCUUGCUAUUACCUCAAGAAGAAAGACUGCUACAAUUCUAUCUUCUUUAAACCAGCUAUUUAAAAGCAAUAAGGACAUUAAAUCCACCAAUUUAUCUUUGAAGUCAUUCGUCAUGCAGCUCUGCUAUGUACGAUUAUUGGCAAAAAUCUUGAAAGGAGACAACCUCAAAUUUGAAGACAAGAAAUGAGCAAGAACAUGCACCAACGAAGAAUCGAUUAUUGUUUUGUAUUUGGUAAAUACAAUUUGAGUUAAAUAAUCAAGAAUGAUAGUGAAUAAAUAAGGAAAAACAAUGUAGAUUCAGAACCACAAUAAAUCAUAUUAAGCUCAUGAGUUUAUAAUAUAUAUCUCUGCAGCUUGAUUGCCUUGUUAGCUAUAAACAUAACCUGUUAAUUCCAUCAUUAAUACCAUUAGAUAUAUUUUGAUGGGGGAGAUUUUUUAGUAGGAAAACAGUUGAAGUCAUUCAAGAAGACAUAAACAGCUGCAACUACGUAAGAGUUUAACUUUGAGAAUAGAUCCUUACACGUUAUUGAAAUGCCAUACUAAAGAUAAAGACAUAUAGCUAAACGUUAGACACACCAUAAAAAUAUAUAUAGGUAAAGUGAUAGGGUGUGAGUAAGGAGGCCAUGCUAUGUUUUCAAAUAAGAUUAUCAUGGUAUGAAUUAUGAGAACCCUAUUUAUAGGAAGAACAAAACCGAUAUGAAACUAAGAAUAUAGUCCAUUGAUAAUGAAGAAUCUAAGAAAUUUAAUGGAAAUUGUGGAUAAGCAUCGUGUUUUUAUCUCUGAUGGAGAAAAGCUAAGAGUGUGAGGAAGACCAACUGUCAAUGUCACCCAAACCGAAUCUACAAGUCACCACAAUGUACAGUAAUUCAAAGCAGGAAAAGUUCAUAGUUUCAGAGUAAAUAACACUUCAAUGAUUGUAUUAUAGAAAACAUGUGUAUCCUAUAUAUGUUGAACAAUAUUAUCUAACAAACAUAUUUUCCAAAAGACUAGAAAAUUUGUGAUUAAAUGCUAAAGUUACAUAUUUUAUGUAAUUAAAUUGGUUAAUUUAUGAGAGUGCACCACUAAUUUUUCCAUGUUUUUGUUGAAUUUUGUGCAGGGGUGCAAUUUGGGGCUAAAUAGAAGAAAAAGGAAACAAUUGGGCUAGAUUGAAGAGAGAAGCAAAGAAGGAGGGCCAAAACAGAAUUUUUCCAGAUUAAUUAGCUGAAAUUUUUGUUGACUUAGUGGGAGAUUAUUUUGGGAUUUUUUUUUAUAUCAUGGAAUAUUUUUCCUUAAUUUUCUAUACUAGUUGGCUUUUAAUUUAGCAAGGCCACUAGUAUAAAUAGAGGCUACAUUGUUCAUUUUAAUCAUCAAGUCUUGAAUCAAUUCAUAAAUCAAGCUUUCAUCUUUCAAUACAUUCUCUCUUUUCUACUCACAAAUUUAUUUGUUGUUUUUAGUUUCAUUUACUUUCAAUCCAUUAAUUUCCAGCUUGUUACCACUUAAACCAUUUUCAAUUUCUUUUUCAAACUUUCUUUCCAUCUCCAGUAGCUAAUUCACUUUAUUACACCCCCAAAAUUCCAGCCCCCCAAACUAAAUCACGCCACCCAUUCCUUUCACCCAUUUUACCUUAUUUAAUUUAUCCAAUACCAACAUGCCCCAAACCUUAGCCAACUAAAUUCAUUUCCAGCUUUAGGUCGGAAUUAGCCUCGUCAAAACCCGUGAGUUACGAACCCGAGCAAAUUAACUCCUAAAUUUUAGUACUUAUUAUUUCUCCGGAUUAAGAGUAUGAUUUUGUCAACUCACAAAGUCAGAUCAACAUUAAGUUAAAAAAGACGUCGUUUGAUUUAGUGUGGUUAGACGUACAGUUGGAAUUCCAAAAAGAUCGAUUCUAAUCGGUUUUCUGUGAACACAUUGGCGUGCCAAUUGGAGAUUGCUGUUUGGUUCCGUCAAGGGAAGUAGUAACCCGAUUUAAAUGUCCCACGCGGUUGAGGGCAUUGGUUCGAGCUAGGGUUUUCUAGAACGCAAAGCUGCCGGAGUUCUAAAUCACGAACAUUUCGUGGUUGUUCGAUCAGUAAGGGUUAGUUAUUGGACGUUCCAUAACUAAUUUACACAAGGAAGAGUUAGUGUCUGAGGCGUCCUUGGUAGCUAUAACUAGCUUAUUGGAAAAGAGGAGUUCAUCUAAUUUUGAGAAUCGGUUCAAAGACGAGGAAAAUUCGUGCCUAAAGCUGAGCUUAUUCUAAUUAAAUUUUCUUCAUAUUUAUUUAACUAUUUUAAUUAUUCUGUUUUCAACUUUAUCUUUUCACGCAUUUUAUUUAUUUAUUUCAGGUCUUCAAAUUUUAUCCCCCCGAACUUCUUGGGCACGACAACUGCCCCAACAUAAAUCUGGUCAAAAUAGAAACAAUUUGCAGUAAACCCAGUCUCUGAGGGAUCGACCCUACUCCCUAUACUGUUUAAAUCGCAAAUUAGGCGUAGGUUUAUAUUGGUGGAUUCGACACCCAUCAAUUUGUAUGUCAUUUUCUAUUACUUGCAAGAAAACUACAGGGGAAAUUGCAUUUCUAAUUCAUCCAUAGGCUUUAAAUUCAAACAAGAAAAAGGAAAAAGAAUAUAUAUAUAUCAACAGGAAACUUCAAGGAGAGAAAUUUUGUUACAUCAAUUUUCCAGUCAUAUUUAAUCUUUACCCAAAGUUGAUUCUAGAUUAAAUUUGGAAAAAAUUAAAAAAGAGGACAUGUAUUUUUUUUUAUUUUUGAAAAGUAAAGGAUUAUAUCUCAGCCAAAUAAAAAAGUCACAAUGCAAAGCCAAGAGCCAAAGCCAAGCCAAGCACACACUCAACUAGCAGACAUAACUCAUACAGGACCUAGAUGUAUUAUUGAACUCUUAUAUAAAAGACAACUGAAGAUGCAAAGCUUAAUUGUUAAGCUUUUCUGAUGCUUGAUAAGCAUAGUUUUAGUUCAGUUCCGAAAUCUAAACUGCUUUGCUAUGGGAUUAUUUUUAUAAGUACAUUGAGAUCAAUGCAUGCUAUUGCGAUUUAUUAUCUUUGAUGCCAAGGAAAUGACAGAAUUCAAAGACCAAAAGGUUCGAUUACAUACUAGAUCAUGGAUGUAAGCCAAUCUACAACCUCUCUCCUCGACCUCCAUGUGAAACCAGCAUGAUUUGAAUUCUCAGCCGCAUAUACCCUCACAAACUCCUCAGCAACAACAUAAAACAUAUACCUAACACUCCUUUGAGAACCGAUAACUGCACAGACAGAUUCACUAAUGGAAGCCUUCAAGAAAUAUUGAACCACACAAUUACCACACUUCUGUGAAAUAAACUUGUUGGUGCAAAGAGACAACAAUAGACUGUUUUCAAUCUUGCUUGUAUAGCAAGCCUCGAGCCUUGCUGAAGAAACAAACUCAAAAGCAAGAACAGAAACACAUGCGAAUGAAAAACAAAAGAAAUUGAGAGAGAGAGUAUUUUGAAUGAAAAGAGCUGAUAUUUCAUUAACAAAUCCAGAAGGCAUAAUGCCAUUACAUAUAAUAGAUAACAACAACAAAAUGAACAAGUCUUUACCUAAUGACAUACCUAACACCACUAAAUUUACAUUGGAAAUUGUUAAUCAGCUUGCUUAAGUUUCUUUGCUGAUUUUUUCAGUCAAUCAAUCAACAAAAAACAUCAUAAGGUUUACCAACUUAGUUCAACAUGAACUAGAUUACAAAAUAAUAAUUAAAAAUACAAUCAAAACAUAACAAGUAGUUAGGCAACUUUAAGCUCCAGUUUCUGCACUUCAUAGCUCGACUGCUUGCUGCCACUUCUCCUUGCAUGGCCACCUUUGCAUGUCUUGCAUGGGAACUAAAUUCAACACUCCUCCUUAGUUUCCAUGCUAGUGACACCUAAUUGCCUUCUUAAUUUAACAAAUUUAGACACAUUGAGUGCCUUUGUAAAGAUAUCAGCAAUUUGCUCUUCUGAAUUGCAAUGAACCAGCUCGAUUUCAUGAGCUUGCUCCAUCUCCCUUAUGACAUGUAGCUUGAUGUUGAAGUACUUUGCUCUACCAUGAAAGAUAGGAUUCUUUGCAAUUGCAACAGCAGAUUUGUUGUCACAGUAAAUCUCUGUUGCCUUUCCUUGAUUUUGAUUUAAAUCAGCUAGGAUUUUUCUAAGCCAUAUGGCUUGAUUUACAGCAGAUGCAGCAGCAACAUAUUCAGCUUCUGCUGUUGACUGUGCUACCAGACUUUGCUUUUUAGAACUCCAGCAAAACAUGCCUGAGCCAAGACUAAAGGCAUAUCCAGAUGUGCUUCUCAUGUCAUCACAAGAUCCAGCCCAGUCACUAUCAACAUAGCCUAUUAGCUUCAUGUUUAUAGCCCUUUUGAACAAUACACCAUGAUCAAUGGUGCCUUUGAUGUAUCUAAGCACUCUUUUAGCUGCUUGAAAGUGCUGAUCAUUGCAGCAAUUCAUGUAUCUGGAUAGCACACUAACAGCAAACAUGAUAUCGGGUCUUGUUGCAGUCAAAUACAACAGACUACCAAUGAGACUUUUGUACAUAGUCUCGCAAAUUGGUUCACCACUCCCUUGCCUCGAAAGCUUCACUCCAACAGCCAUUGGUGUGCUUGUUGGCUUGCAGUUCUUCAUAGAGAACUUAUCCAGGAUCUUCAUAGUAAAAGAACUCUGACUAAGAAAGAUUCCCUUUGCUGUUUGCUUCACUUCCAUUCCAAGGAAGUAGUUCAUUCUGCCUAAAUCAGACAUUUCAAACAUUUCCAUCAUUUUUCUUUUGAAAUCUUCCAGCAUUCUUCUAUCUCCUCCAGUCACCAAUAAAUCAUCAACAUAGAGUGACAGGAUAAGCUGAGUUUCAGCUUGGUUCUUCUUCACAUACAGUGUUGGUUCACUGAGACUUCUCUCGAAUUCCAAACUGAGCAAGUAAGAAUCAAUUCGAGCAUACCAGGCUCAAGGAGCCUGUUUUAGGCCAUACAAAGCCUUUUUCAGUCUGUACACCUUGUGUUCUUUGCCAGUGACCACAAAUCCUUGAGGCUGUUCGAUGUAGAUCUCUUCUUCCAGGAAACCAUUGAGAAAUGCAGACUUAACAUCAAGCUGAUGAAUGGUCCACUGAUGUUGAGCAGCCAAGGCAACUAUCAUUCUAACUGUGUCAAGCCUGGCUACUGGUGCAAAUGUCUCCAGAUAGUCCAGACCAUACCUUUGGCUAAAACCUUUGACAACAAGCCUGGCUUUUAGCUUGUUCAGACUGUCAUCUGCAUUCUGUUUUGCUCGAUAGACCCAUUUUACUCCAAUGGUCUUCUUUCCAGUAGGUUUAUCAACUAGCUCCCAUGUCUGGUUCUUCUCAAUCAUGUUGAUUUCAUCGACCAUAGCUAGUUUCCAGCCUUCAUCUGCCUCAGCCUCUUCAAAACUGCUAGGUUCUGCUAUUGCAACCUGUGCCCUUUCAUAAAUAUCAUCUAGGGGCCUUGUGCCUCUCACAAGCACAUCAUCAACAUCCAUUUCAGGUCCUAGCUGCUCAAGUUCAGCUUGAUUAGGCACCAGGUCUUCUGAAGCAGCUUCUGGUUCAUUCUUUUCCCAAUUCCAACAAGCCUUCUCAUCGAAGAUGACAUCUCUGCUCACUUGAACUAUGUUUGUCAAAGGAUCCAGCACCCUGUAGCCCUUCUUAACUGAGCUAUAGCCUACUAGAACACCUGGUUGAGCCCUUUCAGAGAGCUUGUCUCUCUUAACUGCUGGUAUUUGUGCAUAACACAGGCAACCAAACACCUUCAGAUGUACCAAGGAAGGCUUGAAACCGGACCAAGCCUCGAAAGGUGUUUUGGAUGCAAGAGCUUUGGUAGGAAGCCUAUUUUGAAGGUAGACAGCAGUGUUUACUGCCUCAGCCCACAUGGUCUUGGGCAGUUUCUUCUCAAACAGCAGGCACCUGGCCAUAUCCAUCAAGCUUCUGUUCUUUCUUUCUGAUACCCCAUUCUGCUGAGGUGUGUAGACAUUUGUAAGCUGGUGUUUGAUACCAGCAUCAUUGCAAAUGGCUUGAAACUGAGCUGAAGUGUACUCAGUGCCAUUGUCUGACCUUAUCGAUUUCAGCUUGCAACCUGUUUCUGUCUCUACAGCAAUUUUAAACUUCACAAACACUUGAGCUACCUCAAACUUGUGUUUUAAGAAGAAAAUCCAGCAAAACCUUGUAAAAUCAUCAAUGAAGAGGAUGAAAUACCUAUUUUUCUUGAGUGAUUCAGUCCUCAUCGGGCCACAUACAUCAGAGUGCACCAGCUGUAGUUUUUUAGUAGCUCUCUAAGCUGAAUUUGUAGGAAAUGGCAGUCUUGCCUGUUUCCCCAUCUGGCAAACUUCACACACAUCAUCAUGCUCCACUGAGCUAGUAAAGUUCUCUGCCAAGCCUUCUUUGGCCAUUCGAGCCAAUGAUCUGAAGUUGGCAUGCCCAAGCCUUUGAUGCCAAAGCUUGGAAUCAUCAACAGAGGCUGUAUAUGCAGACUUUGAGUCAUUUGGCCAGUGUACCUCAAAGCAUUUGUUAGUCAUUGUGACUGUCAUAAGGCUUGAUCCACUUGGAUCAGCAAUGUGGCACUGUUUGUUCUUGAACACAACAGAAUAGCCUUUCUUGAGCAAUUGAGCUAUGCUGAGAAGGUUUCUGUCGAUUUCUGGCACUAACAGCACAUUUGGAAUGAUCUUGUUGCCUGUGGGGGUACAUAUCAGCACCUCUCCUCUUCCUUCAGCCCUUAUGAACUGACCAUUUCCAACCUUGACCUUGGUUUUACAACUUCUAUCCAAGGUUUUAAAUAAGGAGGCAUCUGGUGACAUGUGGUUAGUGCAACCACUGUCCAAUAACCAGCCUUUUGAGCAUUUCUUCUCAGCAGCUAAGAAAGAAACAGCAAAGACCUGCUCUUCUUGAUCACUACUGUCCUCAGCUACUCGAGCUUCAACCUUUGGUUGUUGAAAUUGACUCUGCCUUGACUUGGUUUUAUUUUUGCAAACCCUUUCAACAUGGCCUUUCUUCUUGCAGUGUUGGCAUACUGCAUCUGGCCUGAACCAGCAUCUGUCUUCUGGAUGACCUGGCCUCUUGCAAUGUCUGCAGGGCUGGUCAUUGCUCCUUGCAGUAUCAGGCUUAGGCCUGCUUUUCCAAGGCUUUUUACCUCUUGGAGCAUUGAUGCUCGAGGCUUCUCUGGCCUUGGCAUUGAAUGCACCUUCCUGGUGGUCUUCAGCUCUGCUAGCUCUCCUUUGUUCCUGAGCAUAGAAAGUGUUGAUUAGCUCAGUCAAAGAGAUGGUAGCAAGGUCUCUUGAGUCCUCAAGAGAGGAUAUCUUGGCCUCAUAUCUCUCAGGCAAAGUGGAGAGAACUUUCUCUACUAUCCUUGCCUCAUCAAAGUGCUCACCAAGGAGCCUUAUACUGUUAACCACUGCCAUGAUUCUAUCUGCAUACUGCUUCACUGUUUCUUCUUCCUUCAUCUUCAGGUUCUCAAAAUCCCUUCUCAAAUUCAAUAGCUGUUGUUGCCUUGUUCUCUCAGUGCCUUGAAACUCCUCCUUAAGCUUAUCCCAUGCCUGUUUUGGAGUCUCACAGGCCAUAAUUCUGGUGAAGAUGACAUUUGACACACAAUUCUGAAUGCAGGACAUGGCUUUGUGCCUUUUGGUCCUCUCAUCAGCAUGUUGCCUAAUCUGAGCUACUGUGGGAUUGGCCCUCAGUGGUGCUGGCUCAGCAUCUGUGUUGACAACUUCCCACAGAUCAAAGGCCUGUAGGUAAGUCUUCAUCUUGACCAGCCAUAUGUGAAAGCCUUCUCCAUUGAAGACUAGUGGGGCUGCUGGUGAAAAACUUGAGGAAGACAUUCAGCUUUCUUAGUUUGAUAAAACAGGUCCACUAAGAAUGAAGCUCUAGAUACCAAUUGUUGGUGCAAAUAGACAACAACAGACUGUUUUCAAUCUUGCUUGUAUAGCAAGCCUCGAGCCUUGCUGAAGAAACAAACUCAGAAGCAAGAACAGAAACACAUGCGAAUGAAAAACAAAAGAAAUUGAGAGAGAGAGUAUUUUGAAUGAAAAGAGCUGAUAUUUCAUUAACAAAUCCAGAAGGCAUAAUGCCAUUACAUAUAAUAGAUAACAACAACAAAAUGAACAAGUCUUUACCUAAUGACAUACCUAACACCACUAAAUUUACAUUGGAAAUUGUUAAUCAGCUUGCUUAAGUUUCUUUGCUGAUUUUUUCAGUCAAUCAAUCAACAAAAAACAUCAUAAGGUUUACCAACUUAGUUCAACAUGAACUAGAUUACAAAAUAAUAAUUAAAAAUACAAUCAAAACAUAACAAGUAGUUAGGCAACUUUAAGCUCCAGUUUCUGCACUUCAUAGCUCGACUGCUUGCUGCCACUUCUCCUUGCAUGGCCACCUUUGCAUGUCUUGCAUGGGAACUAAAUUCAACAAAACUCCUUCUGCCACUCGAAACAAUGACCAUUCCAAACAUUUUGAUAGACAAUACACAAUUUGCUUCACUACUUACUCACAUAGCCAAAAAAUAUCCAAUGAAACUGGCAAAGGGUUCUUCCAAAAUGGUACAUUAGCUGCCAAAAAGACAACCACCAUAUAUUCCUUCAUUCAGUAAACAGCUUCAAUAUGGAAAUAAGUUAUUAUCUUAAAAAUGCUUUUUCUACCACAGAAGAAUAAGAACUAGGCAUCUCAGAAAAUUUGCUAAAUUAAUGACUUUGCUCCCUUCAAAAUAAACAAAUGAUUAACUGCAUUAUCCCAAAGAGGUCACCAUCAACCUCCAGUUGAACUUUCAAGGAAUAAUAAUAAAAAAUAGAAGGAAAUAAGGGGGAAAAAACCCAACCAGAACUCAGUAAUAGCUGAGCCUUGAAGAUCUGUAGGUAGUAAGAGAAAAACCCCAUGACGACUAAAGUCCAGGCUUGAAAGAACCAAAAGGGAGCAACAUAUGACUAUGAUUCACUGGACCAAGAGAAUCACCAAUGAAUAAAGGAAAAAGGGUACUUUCCUUUAUACCUAAACAUACAAUAUUUAGCCUCAAAAUGGGAAAAUUUCAGGUUUUCACAAAGGGUUUAAGAAAGAGGGUGAAAGUUAAAGAACUUGUCUUUGUUUUGAUGUGUGGUACACGAGAUAGUGAAGGAAAAUAGAGGUGAGGAAAUAAGAUGGAGUAAGUGCCUAAGUGGUGAAAAAGGAGAGCCUAAAAGAGACAUUUUUGAAGGGUAGUUUAGAAGCUGCAGAGGCUUUGGCAUACAGCAGCUGAUAAUGAGAGAAGACAAACCAGAAAUGUAAGUACGACGACGAUAAAAAUUAAAAAAUUUUAAGAAUUAAUGAAAUAAAAUUUUGUAGCUUAGCGAAUUGGGACGAAGUCCACCAGUGUGAUGCCCAUAGAUCCAUACCUGGGAUUUUUCUAUUUGGGCUAACUUUCUAACUUCUCCCACCAGUCUUAAAACUUUGCAGAUUUUUUCAAUUUGAUCUGGAUUGUAUGAUAACAUAUCACUUUGAGAUUGGAAAAAAAAUUAUUUUUUUUAAAUUAGAGAAAAAAUAAAGAAACUAAAUUUCAAGCAUGCAAAGUACAAAAGAAAGAACUGUAUUAAUAAAAGAUGAGUUACUUCACUCAGAUUGGAGUACCCUUUAAACAAGUUUAUUCUUGUAGAGAAAGAAACUGGAUUUUGAUUUCAUUUGCUGUGGCAAAAUUUUUAAUUUCAACAACAGUAUAACAUAUUGAAAGCCUGCCUACAUCUCGGCAGAAAAAUUUACAAAUUCUUUCAUCAGACAAUUUAAAUGAUGCAAUGCAAAGAUUCAUCAAUGUAUGAUCUUUUUAUCAUAAAUGGCUGUUUUACUGGAAAACUUGAUAUGUACUGUCUUUCACAUUCUUUUGUGCUGAAUGGUCUCUGAAAACUGCAAUCAUCAACUAUAGAUAACCCAUUCCUCAGCGCCGCCAGAGCCGACCUUGUUGUUUCUGUUCUUGAACUUGCCUGUGUCAUCAAAGGCAGUGAGCAUUUAUCAAUGUUAUAAAAAUGGCAUAUCGAAGUCAGAUUUUACUUGACAAUACACAAAUGUAAGAAGAUAAUUCACCUUUGAUACUCUUUAGAACGCUCGAGAAACUCUUUCGCGAUGUCUUUUCUUUAAUAUGAUUGCAAUACUUGUCUGAUAUCAGCCGGACCAUUGUGUUAGUACAAAACUCCGGUAAGGAAAAAAACUCGAACACACGAUCGGAACUCGAAAAGAAAAAGAAGAAAUAGGACAGGCUCCAAGGCGUGUAUCAAGCCACUAUCUUUAAGGUUAUAUUCGCCCCCACUUAUCUUCAGUGUGCAAACGAGUUCCAAGCAAAUUAACCUCGAGGAUACAAUGAAGCCAAUGACUAUUUGCGUUUUGCACUGACGAGAAUAGUCCACUAUACACUAAGUAAUGUAUAACAAAAACUCAAUUUCUACAAAGGAUUUCUGCAGCAAUACUUUAUAGAAUAAUCUAAUAAUAUUAGAAAAUGAAGGAAGAGAAGAAAUAAUAUUAGAAUUUGUUGAUAUGAUUUCCAAAUGAAAUCCCAUUCCUAUUUAUAGGAAUUUUCAUGUCUCUUCAUAGAGACAUCUUUCAAUAGGUGUCUUUAUGAAUAAAUAAAUAAUAAUAAUUAUUCAUUUAAUUUUGUAACUAUUCAAAUAAUAUUUUUUGAAUAGUUAUAAUUCUUUUUUAAAAAAUCAAAUGAUAUAACUUUUGACCAAUGACCAAAAGUUUUAUCUUUUGAUUAAUUACACCCAUUCAUUUAUAGUUAUUGGGAUACUAUAAAUAUUUGAAAAUAUUCCAACAAUCUCCCCCCAUUUUCAAAAUAUUUAGAUUUUGAUAUUCUUGGAAAUCAAUUUGCAUAAAUAAAGGUGUCUUACGAUUGAACCUUCACUUAGUGAAAACAUGUUAAAGUUAAUCGAAAUUGUAUGGUAGACUAAGCUUUGAACCAACUAUUCCAUUUGAUUAAUUGAACACAUCUCACACAAUGAUUUCAACAUCAGUCAAUGCAUAGUAUCUAGGGACACUAUUAUAGCCAUGUGUCUAUGUCCUCUUUUCAUGAGUGCUGUCAGAGCCAAGCCCUUAAGCUCCUAGAAGCGGCCACACUUCCACUCACAUAGGUAGAUCCCAUCAAAAGUGUUCCCGUAAUUAUAACACUCUAACAUAUUUAUGUUAUGGGUCCAUUAAGAGUAAAUUACUCAUCCUUCCCUUAUCAUUACGGGUACCUAGCACUUUAAUCUUAGGAUGGAUUUAUUUAUAGUGCUAACAGUCACAUACUAAUGAUGUACUUUGUCUCAUUGAACUCAAGACUUGACGUUAUACCAAGCAUUGAGUCGAGUUUCCAUCAUGGGUGACUCUAAUUAAUAGGCUUGAGUCCCAUCCCUUUUGAGGUCCUUUUUACUGCAUCUCUAGCAAGACUUUUUGUCAAAGGAUCUGCCAAAUUUUCACUUGACCUCACAUAAUUAAUAGUGAUCACUCCAUCAGAGAUUAAUUGUCGGACAUAACUAUGUCUUAAUCCAAUGUGUCUAGACUUUCCAUUAUAUACUUGGCUAUAUGCCUUUGCUAGAGUAGCCUCACUAUCACAACGGAUAGAAAUAGGUGAAAUUGGCUUAAGCCAUAAACGUACAUCAUAAAGCAAAUUUCUUAACCAUUCUGCUUCUUUAGAUGCAGCGGCUAAUGCAAUAAAUUCUGCUGCCAUGGUGGAAUCAGUAAUACAUGUUUGUUUCUUGGAACCCUAAGAAAUGACUCCUCCACCAAGAAUGAAGAUCCACCCACUAGUAGAUGCAUGAUCUUCCAAACUUGUAAUCCAACUAGCAUCCGAAUACCCUUCUAAAACUGGAGGAUAUCCAUUAUAACACAAUCCAUAGUUAAUAGUUUUCUUUAAGUACCUAAGUACUCUAUUUAAAGCUUGCCAAUGCAAACUACUUGGAUUAUUUGUGUAUCUACUCAAUUUUCCAAUAGCAUAUGCAAUAUCUGGUCUUGUACAAGUCAUUAUGUACAUAAGAAAACCAAUUGACUUGCAUAUUUCAAUUGAUCAAUUUUCCUACCAGCAUUAGAUACUAAUUUUAAUUGAGGAUCCAUGGGUGUAGAUACUGGUAUACAGUUGAAAAUAUCAAACUUUUUAAGCACAUUUUCAAUGUAAUGUGAUUGUGAUAAAGCUAUAGUGCUUUCAUCUCGGGUUAUUUUAAUCCCAAGAAUAACAUCUUCUACACCCAUAUCCUUCAUAGCAAAGUUGUUUGACAAGAAUUUCUUUGUGUUUUCUAUUUGUUCCAAAUCCGUGCCAAAAAUGAGCAUGUCAUCUACAUAUAAGCAAAUUAUAACACCCUUUCCAUUAUCAAAUUUACUAUAUAUGCACUUAUCGGAUUCAUUUAUUUAUAGCCAUUAGCUAAAACAACCUUGUCAAACUUUUGGUGCCAUUGUUUUGGUGCUUGUUUAAGCCCAUAUAAAGAUUUAACAAGCUUACAUACCUUAUGCUCUUGUCCUGGAACAACAAAUCCUUCCGGUUGCUCCAUGUACACUUCCUCUUCCAAUUCACCAUUUAAAAAUGCAGUUUUAACAUCCAUUUGGUGAACAACCAAAUUAUAUAUAGAGGUAAGUGAUAUUAAUAGUCUAAUUGUAGCAAUUCUUGCUACUGGAGCAUAGGUAUCAAAGUAAUCAAUACCUUGUCUUUGUGUAAAACCUUUUGCUACCAACCUUGCUUUAAAUUUAUCAAUGGUUCCAUCGACCUUCAUUUUCUUUUUGAAGAUCCAUUUACAACCUAUUGGUUUGGAACCUGGUGGAAGAUCAACUAAGAUCCAAGUUUGAUUUCCCAUUAUUGAAUCCAUUUCAUCAUUUAUUGCUUCUUUCCAAAAAGUAGAGUCUUGAGAUUUCACUGCUUCUUCAAAUGUAACAGGAUCAGAUUCGGUAUUAUAACAAUAAGGUAUCUUAUUGCAUAUACUUUCACCUUUUCCUUCUAUAAGAAACAUAAUGAAAUCUGGUCAAAAAUCUUUGACCUUUUUAAUCCUCUUACUUCUUCUUAAUUCUUGACAAGAUUCAUCAUUAUUAUCAAUUUGUUUCAAUGGAAUCUCAUUCUCAUUUGAAGAAUGAAUCAAUUGUUGUGGUUGUAAUUGUCUUGAUAUAGAAUUAAAUCUAUUUUCAUCAAAAAUAGCAUCUCUUGAUUCAAUAACCGUAUUAAUUGAAAUUGAAUCAUUUGGUUCAAUUACUAUGAACCUAUAUGCCUUGCUAUUAUGUGCAUAACCUAUAAAUAUGCAUUCAAUUCCUCUUUCACCUAACUUUUUACGUUUAGGUGUUGGAACUUUUACAAUAGCUCUACAACCCCAAACCUUUAAAUAAUUAAGGUUUGGUUUCCUUUUCUUCCAUUGUUCAUAGAGGGUUAUUUUAGUUUCCUUAUUAGGAACUCUAUUCAAUAUAUGACAAGCUGUUAGAACAGCUUCUCCCCAAAAACCCUGUCCAAGACCUGAAUAUGAUAACAUUGAAUUUACCAUUUCAAUCAAGACUCUAUUUUUCCUUUCAGCUACACCAUUUUGUUGUGGUGUGUAAGGGGCUGAAACUUGAUGGACAAUUCCAGUGAGUUCAAAAUAACUUGGAUUAUAGUAUUCUCCACCUCUAUCCGAUCUUAAGCACUUGAUAAAUGAUUCACACUGAAGUUCAACUUCAGAUUUAUAAACUUUAAAUUUAUCAAGCGCUUCAUCUUUUGAAUGCAAUAAAUAUACAUAACAAUAUCUAGAACAAUCAUCAAUAAAAGUAACAAAAUAUUUCUUUCCACCUAAUGUAGGAGUAUUAUGCAAGUCACAUAAAUCACUAUGUAUCAAAUCAAGCAAUUUUGUUUUCCUUUUAACCUUAGGGAAAGGAUUUCUUGUAAUUUUAGUCAACAUACAGGUAUUGCAUUUUUCAAUAUUAUUAUUAAAAACAGGAAUUAAAUCUAAUUUAUACAUGUCAUUCAAUUUUCUAUAAUUCAAAUGACCUAAUCUAUAAUGCCACAAACAAAAUGAUUCAACCAUAUAAGCAGAAAUAGUAUUUUUAUUCUUAUUAAUAAUAUUAAGUUUGAACAUGCUUUCAUACAUAUACCCUUUUUCCCACAAAAAUUCCUCCCUUAGACAAAAUAAACUUAUCUGCCUCAAAAACAAGUUUGAAACCAAACUUAUUCAACAGACUUCCAGACACUAAAUUUUUCCUAACUUCUGGUACAUAAUAUACAUCAUUUAAGGUUAAAACCUUUCCAGAAGUGAAUUGUAGUUCAACAGACCCUUUGCCUUUAAUUUGCGGUGGAAGAAUUUCCCAUGUACAAGACAUUGUCAUUUUCACAUUGUGUGACUUUGUGAACAUGCUUUUGUCUUUGCACACAUGUUUGGUUGCUCCGGUAUCAAUCCACCAUGUAUUAUCAUCUUGUACCAUAUUAAUUUCAGAUAUCAUUGCAACGAACUUUUCGUUAUUAUCAGCCUUAGAAGAUGAUUUCUUCUUUAAAAAUCGAUAUUCAUUCUUGAAAUGUCCCGGCUUUCCACAAUGAUAGCAUGAGCCCUUUUGUUUCUUUUUGAACUUAGGUGCUCUAUCAGCCUGAUUGAACUUUCUUUUGAAUGGUUUAGUAGUCUGUACUUCCUCCGUAACAUGUACUUUGGCAUUUUCAGAAUUUAGGUUCUGAUCUUGUUGUCGAUACUCUUCUUCAAUACGAAGAUGAUUUGCCAAAGCCUCAAGAGAUAUUUCCUCUUUCUUAUGUUUUAGACUUCUUUUAAAGUCUUUCCAAGAUGGAGGAAGUUUGUCUAUUAUAGAGGAUACCACAAUUAUUUCAUCCAUUUUCAUAUCAUAUUGCUUAAAUUGAUUCAACAUCUUUUCAAUAUCACGAAAUUGUUCCAUAACAGAACGACCAUCAACCAUUUGAUAAUUAUUGAAACGACUGACAAGAAAUUUCUUACUUGUAACAUCUUCGGUCAUGUAUCUUGCCUCCAAUUUGUCCCAUAAAUCUUUAGCGGUGACGUCGUUUUGGUAGGUGUCGAACAAACCAUCAGAUAAACCAUUCAAUAUGUGGCCCAUGCACAUGUAAUCAGCAUUGUCCCAUUUUUGUCUUUCUCGGGUUGCAGCAAUAGAUUCGUUUUCAUUCUCUUCAGGUCUUGGAGUAUCCAAAACAUAAGCAAUCUUCAAAGUUGAUAACAAAAAGUGCAUCUUUUUCUGCCAUCGUCGAAAAUUGCCACCAUCAAAACGAUCAAGUUUAACAAAGUUGGAAGCCAACUCCCUUAGUGUUCCACUUUCAUGUGUUGUGGUAGUCAUCAUGAAAUAUAACCUUAAAAUUGUUAGUACAAAACUCCGGUAAGGAAAAAAACUCGAACACACGAUCGGAACUCGAAAAGAAAAAGAAGAAAUAGGACAGGCUCCAAGGCAUGUAUCAAGCCACUAUCUUUAAGGUUAUAUUCGCCCCCACUUAUCUUCAGUGUGCAAACGAGUUCCAAGCAAAUUAACCUCGAGGAUACAAUGAAGCCAAUGACUAUUUGCGUUUUGUACUGACGAGAAUAGUCCACUAUGCACUGAGUAAUGUAUAACAAAAACUCAAUUUCUACAAAGGAUUUCUGCAGCAAUACUUUAUAGAAUAAUCUAAUAAUAUUAGAAAAUGAAGGAAGAGAAGAAAUAGUAUUAGAAUUUGUUGAUAUGAUUUCCAAAUGAAAUCCCAUUCCUAUUUAUAGGAAUUUUCAUGUCUCUUCAUAGAGACAUCUUUCAAUAGGUGUCUUUAUGAAUAAAUAAAUAAUAAUAAUUAUUCAUUUAAUUUUGUAACUAUUCAAAUAAUAUUUUUUGAAUAGUUAUAAUUCUUUUUUAAAAAAUCAAAUGAUAUAACUUUUGACCAAUGACCAAAAGUUUUAUCUUUUGAUUAAUUACACCCAUUCAUUUAUAGUUAUUGGGAUACUAUAAAUAUUUGAAAAUAUUCCAACACAUUGCGGGCUACAUCUGUGAACAAAUCAAAACAAAUGGUACUAUAAUCAACAAAUGAAUAUAGGAAACAUAAAAUUUGAACAAAGGCGAUGUGCAGAGGAAAAAGCAACAACAUAAGACUUACAUUCAAGAAAUGGAAUAAGGUCUAAAAGUGCGGUAUCAUCAGUCUCGACCUUAUAUGGCUUAAUAUGGACACAAUUUUCUGGUUGAAGGCUAGAAUCAAAUGCAUGAGCACUCACAUAUAAAAUCUUGGUUGGAUCCCUGUUUAGCUUUGAAAGAUCCUGCCAACAGGAACUAUUUGUUAACAAUAAGGCUUCUUUUUAAGUAGCAGCUUGUAAAGGCACUGUCUCAUAUAUUAAUUCACAUAGUAUUGUAGAAACUAAGGAGGAGAAAACCAAAAGCAAAAUGUUUUGAAGGGAAGAGAUUGACUAUGACAUGGUAAAAGUAUCAUGGAGGCCCCUAUGUUAGGAGUUAGAUUGCCUUUUGCCCCCUUUACUCAAAAACUGGAUAAAUUAGUCCCUAUAUGUUAGAUUAAAGAGUAAGCUAGACUUUCUGUUAAAAAUUUCAUCCAUUGCUACUGUUAAAAACUGGUGCAGUUGAUAAAAUAACCAAACAGUUACACAUAAUGUGUCACGUGUACCUCAUGCUAAUGUAUAUGGACCAAUUUUUAACAGUAGAAAUGGAUGGAACUUGUAACAGAAGGGCUGGUUUGCUUUUUAAUCUAAUUUACAGGGAUUAAUUUGCCCAUUUUUUUAGUAAAGGGGUGAAAUGCAAUAUGACUCCUAGUAUAAGGGCCUCCAUGGUACUUUUACCACUAUGACAUACUCUAUAAUGCUUGCCAUCCUGAUAUUUAGUAGCACCCCUUGAUAGCCUAUAUCGUAUACAAUGGUUAGUGUCCAACCUUUCACAAGCAGGAUCAACAUACCGCAUAGCCAAAAACAAAAUAAUUAUGAACUUGCAGGCAACAUCAGUUAUAGUAUAUCUGAAAAAGAUAAGGAAAAAAAACUGUUACUUUCAUAUCUAAUUUCUUUAUAGUAUUAGGACAAACUAAACAAUGGAUAUAUCACAUUAUUAAGACUUAGCUAAGGAGCCGCUGAUAUACAUUCAAAUGAUCAAUCAUAAAGGAUGAACUAGGAGGCCUAAUGAUAAAUCAAAAUUACACCUAAACCAGUUAUAUGUCUAAAGGCAAUUGCACAUUAUAUCAAUCAAACAACUAAAAUAAAUAGAGAAAAUCCUUUAAAAUAUUCAAUUUCUAAACAAAAUCAAACUCACAUCAAUAGCAGAUCUUGACAAAGAAACCCAAAAUCACAAAUGAUCCUAUCUUUUUAAAAGGGGAAAAAGAAAACUUACUAUAAGAGAGAUAACCAGCAUAGCCAGUAGUUCCAGUAACACCUGCAAUGAGUCCGUACUUGACAAAGCUCUAAAUUUUCCCUCCCGAAACCUGUGGGGCAACUUUCGGCGCCAGAGGAGGAGGUGUCGACUGAUCGGAGAGAAUGGAUUGUGAAGAACAAUCCAAACUUAAUUUACAAGCAAUGUGGAAAUUUUGGACGUUGCAGUAUUGACUACGUUUACUUGAGGGAAAACAAAGACAUGAAUGCUGGAAAUUUUAACUAGUUUGUACGGUCAAUGAAGCUACCUCGAAUGUUAAAUAUGUUACUCUGCAAUGCCAUUGUAAAUAUGACUGUUAAAUUUGUUGAUAGCGGAAUUGUUCCACUCAAGUUAUUGUGGGACAAAUCAAGAAUUUGAAGAAAAGUGACAUUGCAUGUUAAACAAGAGACCUCUCCAUUGAAACUAUUAUUUGAGAUCAGAAAGACAUUGAUUGUCGAAGCUGGAAUCGGAAGAUUUCCACGGAUCAAAUAGGAGCUUAAGUCAAGAACUACAAUAUUCUUCCAUGGAAAGUGCAAAACUUCUGUCAAAGAGUUGCUGUAAUUGGAUUAAUCUCAUCGUUGCUGCAAUCUUUUGACAAAUCGAAUCUUAAAUAUGUUACUCUGCAACGCUAUUGUAAAUGUUACUCUUAAAUAUUACUCUGUAACUAGAUUGAUGGCUCAAUCUUGUUUUUAACAUUGUUAUGGGUAUUACUACUUUCAUGCUUUGAUACGCGAUACCCUCUUUCUAGGUGACAUUUUUGCUCCUUCCGGGCCACCAUGGGCUCUCUGCAUCACUCACCAACCUCAUUAGAUUCCCCGGGUGCCAUUUGGCCAUCUCAAGUCUCAAAAUAGCAUCAAAAUGCACUCUAAUAAUUUAUUAAUAUAAAGAACUAAAACAAAAUAAAAACACAACAAAGAUAUCUAAAUUGCACGAAAAUAAGCUUUUAAGUGUGAUGGAGAGUCUAAUUUGACAUAUCAAUUAAUGUUUGACUAUCUCCAUCUCACUUUUUAUUAAUUAAGGAAUAUGAAUUAGAAUUAAUAUAAACUUACUAUUUUAACAUUUCAUAAGCAAAAGCUAAAAUAAUAUUGGUCACAUCCCAUAUCUUCAUAUAUAGCUUAUCAGACAAAAGUUAAAACAGCCUUCAGUUCAUCUACAUUCUACAUUCCACGUCGAAUCUGCAAGCAUCAAAUAUUAACCUUUGAACUCCAAAAUAACAACACCAAUUUCCAGCAAUUGCAGAAGAAUGUCCAAUAAUUCCACACAAAUUAACAACAAUUUGCCAGCAUCCACUACAUUCGUAUGAAUUCCACACAAAUUAAGACUGGAAACUCUAACUUGUUCAUACCCUCAAUGAAGCUACCUAAAAGUUAUGAAUUCCACUGCAAAUUUUGUAUUGCUUGGAAUGAAUUGACUGUAAUUUCCUAUUACUUGCCACAAAAUUUUCUUUUACUGCUAACUUGUAAAAAAAUUAUGAAAAUACAACAGAGAUCAUUGAGACAUUUUGUUCUCCUUUCUCCUUUACUGAGCAGUAGCAAAGAUUAUCGAGACUAAAUUGAAAGUCAUGAAAGAAGACAUAAACAACACCACCAUACAAAAUGUUACACUCAAACAAACCAUUACAGAUAGUACGAAAUGCAAUGAAAGACACAGGAAUUGGUACAACAAUAAAGACAGACACAUACCAAUGCAACCCUUCACCAUAGGCAAAACGGUCUACAGAAUAAGAAAUUAUGAAAAUACAACACUAAUUCUUGAACAUCAUUUCCAGUAAUUAGAUCCUUCUUCGUCUAUUGCUUCGAUUGCCUUUCUUUGACUUUCUUCUUCGCCUCAUCUCUUGUUGGUUUUCAACCAAAUUCACCAACCAUUUCGGCUUACCAAUUUGGAAAACAACAUAUCCCACGGACAUUCCGAACACCACUCUGCAUCCAUAACCUAUCAACACCACUUUCCAACCAAAAGCAAUGUUUGAUUUUGAGCCAUCUUUUUCAAGCGCAUUUGGAGGUGCUGGCUCAAUGAUGUUGCAACCUUUCGAGACCGGAAACCCACACAGUCCAUUAUUCCCUUCAUAUGAAUCAUUUCCAAAUGUGUUGAAUUGUUUUCCUUGAGGAAUCUGACCAUGGAGUUGAUUUUCAGCGACAUUGAAGGACGAAAGAAAUGGCAGAUCUGCCAAUCUAUUUGGAAUCGUCCCAGACAACCUGUUUGAAGAUAGGUCCAACCAUUCAAUACUUGUCAAAUUCCCUAUUGAUGUGGGAUACCACCAUUAAGGUUAUUAUGAGAAAGGUUGAGCCCUUUCAGUAAGUUAAGCUUCCCAAAAACCUUUGGAAUACCCCCUUCAAACUGAUUGUUUGAUAGAUCAAUGAUCAUCCACAUGGUGAAAAUUUUCACCAAUUCCAUAUAUUGUCCUUUCAUAACAGUUCCGAUGGAAUAGGUAUAGAAGCCAUUACCUCUCGGAACAUACAUCCCCAUGUACGACAUUGUACUCCCAAUCUUCUCUAGAUUUAUGAUACCCUUGAAGCUGUUGAUGUAUCUCACUGGUAGGGGUCCAGAAAAAUAAUUACUUGAGAGAAAAAAAAUUUGGAUUUUAGAGAAAAAAGGGCUAGACUUGGAGCUAUUGUCACAUAAGGAACCAUGCAUAUGAUUUGACUUCAAUACAAGAACUUGUAGCUGUGGAAGACUUCCCAACCAAUGAGGAAAUGUAUCAUUGAUCUUGUUCUUCUUCAGAUUCAAGAAUUGAAGGCUGUAGCUCAAAUUUUCAAAACAUUGCGGAAUUGUUCCGCUCAAGUUAUUGUGGGACAAAUCACGAAUUUGAAGAAAAGUGACAUUGCAUAUUAAAGAAGAGACCUCUCCAUUGAAACUAUUAUUUGAGAUCAGAAAGACAUUGAUCGUCGAAGCUGGAAUGGGAAGAUUUCCACGGAUCAAAUUGGAGCUUAAGUCAAGAACUGCAAUAUUCUUCCAUGGAAAGUGCUCAACUUCUGUCAAAGAGUUGUGAGAUACAUUUAAGUCAAAGAGCCAUUGCCCACCUCUUGCAUCCACUGUGGAAUCUUGCCUUCAAUUUUGUUGCAAGAGAGGUCCAAGCUUUCCAAACUUUUAAGCCCUUAUAAAAACUGGGGGAAUUCACUAAGAUUGAAAGAUGACAAACGUAAGUCUAUAAGAUUAGACAAUAUAUGGUUAACACAAGAAGUAGUAUUAAAUGUUAAGGAUAGGCUGUUAUAUGAAAGGUCGAGAAGUUUUAGAGUUGGAAGGUUUGAGAACAUGCGAAACUCUAUGACACCACUAAGAUUAUUUGAGGAUAAAAGGAGGUGGGUAAGAUUGAGAAGUUGGAAUAUUGAAGAUGGAAGAGGACCUUGGAGUUUAUUAUUGUUUAACCUUAUCAAUUCUAGUGUUUUG
This 65942-nucleotide long non-coding RNA is filed under the name Gossypium barbadense (sea-island cotton). RNAcentral describes it as "long non-coding RNA (GBAR_LNC016778)". The stretch from base 61741 to 61885 matches the Rfam family "MIR7502 microRNA precursor family". Lineage: Eukaryota; Viridiplantae; Streptophyta; Magnoliopsida; Malvales; Malvaceae. The record is from RNAcentral.